UAUGUAUAAAGUAACCAUGAAACCAAAAAGAUUUAACAAACUAACCAUAGGCAACAAUAUUUUGUCGGAGAUGUAGAUGCAAUUACUGAAGUAAUCUUUUCUUUUUAUCUUUUUAUUUCUCAAUUCUUCUUCUCCAGAUUUCUGUAGUUUCAGCCAGCAGCCUCUCAAUUCUUCUUCUCUAGAUCUCUGUAGUUUCAACCAGCAGCAACUCCGGUCCAAUAUUUUGUCAGAAUCUCGAUGAAACAUUGAUGGCUUGUAAGGAUUCCCUGUCAAUCUCUCUCCCCAUUGCCUGGUUCUUCCUAUUUCUCUAACAUCCUUCUCAUAUUUUUUCCUUUCCCUCAUACCAGAACUAUGGGCUGACCAAAUUUCAGUUUCUCCUUAGAAACUCCACAGUUGCAGAUUCAUUUUUUGUGAAUUUUUUACGGAACUUCAUGUAAUGUUUUCUUAUGCAGCAAUAUCUUUGUUUUCAACAUGCUAUUUUUUUUUGCCAUGUAAAUUUCCAAUAUGUCAUUUUUUUUUUCCUUUUUUGACAUGCUAUUCAUUUCAAAAACACAUUAAAUAUUUACAAAUUUCAAGGUUUUUCGUUCGGAGGAUGCGCUUUUUAAUUUGAUUCAUGCAAUUUCUUAAAAUCACCAUGUAAAUUUUCAAUAUGUCAUGCUUUUUUUCUGUCGACAUGCUAUUCCUUUCCAAAACACAUUAAAUAUUUACAAAUUUCAAGACUUUUCGUUCGGAGGAUAUGUUUUUUUUAUUUGAUUCAUGCAAUUUCUUAAAACCACCAUAAUUUGUUUAUCUUUUCUUUGAUUUUCGCUUGUCAGAUCUUCUCCAAUAUCAUACUCCAUAACCACCUCUCUCACAUAAACCACCACCAUAUCCACCUCACGACGACCACCGCCACGAGAUCCAUAAUCUUUAUUAUGCCUUUUGCAUCCUACCAACGCCAUCUGAGCCUGGCCGGACACUGGAUCUCACGCCAAAACAAUGGUAUCAUUUCACACUGGAUCUCAAGCCAUGAUCUUAAUCGGAAUAAUCUCGGAGAUCAUAUCGUCGUAAGUUUCAUACUUGUUUAACAAAUGGUUUAUUUUGUAAAAACUAUGAUUUUACAAAGUUAAUUAGUCUUUUCUCUACCAUAUCCCACCACAUAAAAGUUACUUUCUUAAGAUUUCUAACACAUGGUUAUUUUUGUUAAUUCUUUCUCGGUCAAAGGCUACUUACUAAUAUUACCCAAGAGAUUAUGAUGACAUUUGUACUUUGCUAUCUAGUUUGAAAUACAAAUACAAGUAGAAUUUUUUGAGUCUAAGGAAAAUAUGAUUUCCAAAAUAUAUAAGAGUUUGACAACUCACUUUCUUUUUCUUCUUAUUACACAUGGAAAAGAUGUUGGGCUUAUGAGCACUUUCCAAGCCCAUCCAAAAUAGUAACCAACCAUUCAUCUAUAUCUACUAAAAGAUAAAUAACAAAAAAAAUUGGUCUCAAUUAUUCAAUUGGACUUGGUUCAAAGUUGAGAUUUGAAGGAAACCAAACCGGUUCUUCGUAAACCAAAGGGGUUUAGAGUGAAUUCGUGGAACCUACUUUUUUAUAUAUUCUCUCUGUUUCAAAAUAUAUGAUGUUUUAGGGAUUUUUUUUUGUUUUAAACUAUGGAUGUUUUACAAACUUCUAUGUAACUUUUAAAUAUAUUUGAUAUCUUAUGACCAUUUGUAUUCUGCAGUCUUUAAUAUCAUUGAUUGAAUUUUUUAAAAUUAAAUAUUAAAUAAUAAUUUUAAGAGAAAAAUAACUUUAUUAAAAUGUGUGUUUUUAACUCAAACAUCCUAUAUUUUAAAACAGAGAGAAUAAUAAAUUAAUCUCUUGUUACGCAUACAAAAAGAUGUUGGGCUUUGAUCUUACAAACCACAAAUUUUCCAUGCCCAUUAAUUUUUUGACAAUUGCUUUUUCAUUUUCCGAGAAUCCUUCAACUAGGCCUGUAAACGGAGCGGAUAUCCAUUUUUUUAAGUUAUCUGUAUCCGUAUAUGUGUCCGUAUUAUCCGCCAAUUUAGUAUCUGUAUCCGGAUCCGGAAAUUUUAGAUAUCCGGUAUCGGAUAUUUGUUAAAAAUCCGAAUAUCCACGGAUAUCCGCGAAUAUCCAGAAAUAGUGUUUUAAAAUCCUAAAAUCAUUAAUAUUAUACAUAAAAAGCUUAAAAUUUUUAUAAAAUAGCUAGAGGUUGAUUAUAUAUACAAAACAUUACAAAAACAAAGAAUUUAUUAAAAUAGGAAAAAGUAUUAAAAGAUUCAAGUGGUGUUCUUAAAAAAAUGACAUUAAUUAACUUCUUAAAUUCUUCUUAGAUAUUUAUUUUUAUUUUUUAUCAUAUGAUUUAUUUAUUAACAUUGAAAAUAAAGUAAAAACAAUUAAAAAUUUGGAAUUACAAGUUUUUUGGGCUUUAACACUUGAAAAAUGAAGUCAUAAGGCUUUUAAGUUAUAAUUUUUUUUUUUUUUUGCCGGAUAUCCGUUAUCCGGCCCAAAUUUUAGGAUUAUUCGUAUCCGUAUCCGUAUCCAGGAUAUCUGUCAUUUUACUAUCUGUAUCCAUAUCCGUUUUUGCCGGAUAUUCGUUUUUUCGGAUCAAAAACCGGAUACGGAUAUCCGCGGAUAACGGAUAUAAAUCUCAGGCCUACUUCAAACCAUUGGAGAAUUAUUCUUCUGAUUAACGAGAAAUUUUCGUGGAAUGUUGGUGAAAAUAUGCUUUAGACGACUAACUUCUCCUUGACCCUUAUAAAUAGAAAGGCAGAAAGCAAAACUAAAUACUUUCUCUAGAAACAAAAUUUAGAAUCAACAUAUUUUUUUUUUCGAAUGCCAUGACAAUCUUAGCUUAAGAAUUACUUUAUCUAGAAACUGUCAAAUUUUUAAGAUGGAUAAAAAAACAGCUUAAAACGGUUUCAUCAAUAACAAGAUUGGACCACAUGCUUUUUUCCAUGUACGUGCCAUAUGAACAAUUCAAGGUUUCGACCAACCUAACAUUUCUUUUUGGCAUAUAACCAACCUAGCAUUUUUUAAUAUUCAAAAGUAUGAUAUCUUGGUGUUGCAUGAAUUUGAAUAAUAAAGUUUAUAUAAUAUAUAUUAUGUAAUUAUUUCUGGUUUUGUUUGCACGUGGUUUUGGACUUUAUAUAUAUAUAUAUAUAUAUAUAUAUAUAUAUACGGUUAAAUACAUGUGUAUGCAUGAAUAUGUGUUAAUUAAUGAUAAUUGAACUCAACUCUCUAUAUUUGCUUAACGCCUUGCUUGAUUGAGGUUUAAUUAUUUCUUGAGCCUAGUAACCGAACCAACCUAGGAUUCGCCGAACCGAAAUCAAAUUGAAUUUCAGAAUAUAUCGAAUAAACCGAGCAUAAUAGCUGAACUCAAAAUUGGUGUAACAAAUCAAAUUGCACAAUGUCGGUAAAUUUAUUAAAAUUCAAUAUUUUUAUAGAAAUAUGAAAAAUACAUCUAAACAAAACGCCUACAAUGAUUAAUUAAAACGACUUAUUUACUUAUAUUUUCAUCAGCUUUUUCCUAAAAACUAAUCAAAUUUGAACAUAACCAAACCGAAUCGAAAUAAAAUUGGGUUCUAGUGUUGAUUUUAAUAUUUUUUUGUCAACAUCUUUUAUAAUGAAAACGGUUAAAAAUCCAAACCCAAGGAACAUAGUUUACAUAGCUAAUAUUUGAAAGCUUUUACAAAACUUAGAAGAUAAGAAUGGAGAAGAAGAACUUUUGUUAUUAUUAUCAACUCAACGUUUACAAUCGUAGUACAUAGACUAUAUAAAGACAAGGCUCUCUAAUGAUAGUACGCCAGGUGUCCUUAGCUGCACAUGAUGAGAGCAUCAAAUCUGUUAUUGAGGAAGCUUCUUGGAAGGCUCCUUUGCGCUGAGAGCACACAACUUUUGUGUGUUGGUUUUGGCGGUAACACCUGAGAAGACUGAGAGAUGGGCUUUGACUGAUCUGAGAUCGAGUGGGCUUGUGGUAAAGGCCCAACUUCGGUUUUGCUUACCAAAGCCAAAACCUCUGUUUGAGGCAGAGUCUUCUUCUCUUCAAUACACCCCCUCAAACUUGUUGUCGGAGGAUUGGAGACACCAAGUUUGUAUCGCAAGGAAAAGAACGGCUCCUGAGCAAGGGACUUCGUGAAUAUAUCAGCCAGUUGAUGUUCAGCUGGAAUGUGUUUGACAACAAGAGCACCAUGUGCUACUCUUUCCCGGACAUAGUGGAAAUCCACAUCAAAAUGCUUGGACCGUGAAUGCAGGGCAGGAUUGGCUGUGAGAUAAACUGCAGAGAGAUUAUCAUAGUACAUUUCAGGAAUCUCAGAUUCAGGAAUACCUAGAGAUUGAAGCAGAGCAGAAAUCCAUUUGAGUUCAGAGGCUGCAAAGGACAAUGUUCUGUAUUCAGCCUCAGUGGAAGACUUUGAAACUGUUGGGUGCCUUUUUGCAGACCAGGAGAUGAUGUUGGUGCCAAGAAAAGUGCAAAAGCCUCCAGUUGAUCGUCUAGUGUCCUGGCAUCCAGCCCAGUCACUGUCACUAUACGCUCGUAGAGUAGAAUCUGUAUUGGCAUUGAUGUCAACUCCCAUAUGUAUUGUACCUUUUAAAUACAUGAGGAUACGCUUAAGAAGAUGGAAAUCAGCAACAGUGGGCUUGUGCAUCUUUUGGCACACAAAAUUCACUGCGAAUUGAAUAUCUGGUCUUGUUAACGUCAAGUACUGCAGUUUCCCAGCCAAACUUCGAAAAUAGGUAGGAUCUUCAAAAAUUUCAUCUUGUCCAGAGACUUUAUCAAGCUGAAGUGGUAAUGGAGUAGGCAUUGGUGCACAAUCAAGCAUUCCAGCUGUUACAAGAAGGUCUUUAGCAUACUUCUCUUGAUUCAAAAACAAACCAUCCUUGUGAAAAUGAGCUUGUAUUCCAAGAAAAUAAUGUAAUGGACCAAGAUCUUUCAUACGGAACUCUUCAUUCAGACAAACCAAAAACUCUUGAAUCAACUGAUCAUUGUUACCCGUGAGCACCAUAUCAUCAACAUACAGAAGAAGGAACAUCAUGUCAUUGCCUUUAAUGUAGACAAAGAGAGAUGGAUCUGGAAGACUGCAAAUGAAGCCGAAUUUUAAUAGAUACGUACUGAACUUAUCAAACCAAGCACGAGGAGCUUGCUUGAGACCGUAUAUAGCCUUUUUGAGUUUACAUACGAAGUCUGGUCUGUUAGCAUCUUCAAAUCCCGGAGGUUGUACCAUAUACACUGUCUCCUCUAGAUCACCAUGCAAAAAUGCAUUCUUUACAUCUAAUUGCUUAAUGUUCCAAUGUUGAGUGACUGCGAGAUGAAGUACAGAGCGUACCGUAGCAGUUCGCACCACUGGACUGAAGGUUUCAACAAAGUCAACCCCUUCUUCUUGGUCAUAACCCUUAGCAACCAGUCUUGCUUUCAACCUGUCAAGACUUCCAUCAGAGUGUAGCUUUGUUUUAAAAAUCCAUCGACAUCCGAACACAUUUUCAGCCAUAUCCGGAGGAACCAGAUCCCAAGUAUCAGUUUCAUGCAUUGUAGACAUUUCUUCUCCCAUUGCACUAGUCCACCCUGGGUCUUUCAAUGCAGACUUCACUGUCUUAGGCUCAGGAUAGUUUUCUUUGACCGUGAACAAUGCAUAUUUAGGAUUAGGCUUAACAAUUCCUGCCUUUGCUCUUGUAAUCAUUGGAUGAGAAGAUGAUGUUGCAGUAGAUGGAUCAACAGAGGAAGCUGCUGAAGUACUUUGUUGUUGAAGUAAUGGAGGAAAGUCACUUUCAGUAAAGAGAGAACCACAGUCUUCUGUUGUUUCUGGUAUAACUGGAUGAGUAAGUGUAGAAUUUGUAGUUUCCACAGAUGAUAUAGCCGGUGGUGAUGAAUGAGGAAGCUUAGAUGUGUCUAUCCUACUCGAAGAAACAUGAGAGCUGUUGCCUAUAGAAGUAGGAUCAAAGCCUAUCGUACCCCCAAUACUCUCAGUUUCUUGAAUAGGAGAAGACACAGCAGCAACAUUCUGAGAAUCAAUAGCAGUUGAAACUUUGGUAUUACCAGACUGCCAAGCUGAAAGUAAUGGAGUAUGAGCCUGAGACUUGUAGACAUUAUACUCCUCUGAAUAGGGAAAACGAUUUUCUGAAAAUAAGACAUGUCUACUUAUAUAAACUUUACCAGAAGGAGGAUGAAGACACCGAUAACCUUUAUAUUUCUCAUUGUAUCCCAGAAAAACACAAUGGAGAGACUUUGGAUCAAACUUGUUAACACCAUAAGGACGUAAGUAUGGGUAGCAAGAACAGCCAAAGACUCUUAAAGAGGUAUAAAUAGGAGGCUUCUUAUGCAAAACUUCAUAGGGACUGACCUUGUUGGUAAGAACAGAGGAAGGCAGUAGAUUACCUAAGAAGUUUGCUGUGAAAAAGGCUUCAACCCAUAGUUCUUGUGGAGCAAAGCUUUGAAAUAACAUAGACAAACCCAGUUCUGUAAUAUGCCUAUGUUUCCUUUCAGCAAGACCAUUCUGUUGUGGAGUAUAUGGACAUGACAUCUGCUGUUUGAUCCCUGACUUUGCUAGAUGAGUGACAAAUCUUGUACUAACAAACUCACCCCCUCCAUCACAUUGAAAACUCUGAAUCUUUAGUUGUAGUUGAUUCUCAAUUAAUUGUUGAAAAGUCAGAAACACUGAAUAGAAAUCAGACUUGCUCUUGAGAGGAUAAAACCAAGUGAAUCUUGAAAAGUGAUCAAUAAAUAUAACAUAGUAACGAAAUCCUUGAGGAGAAACAACCGGAGCAGGGCCCCAUAAAUCACAAUGGAUGCGUUCUAAGGGCUGAGAAGCAACAUAAUUUGAAGAAACAAAUGGAAGUCUACUGAUCUUCCCUAACUGACAAGCUUCACAUAGAUGAGAAGGUGCCUUAUUCAUUACUAUAGACUUAUUGCUUGAUAAGAGUUGCAGGAUCUCACUGUGUGGAUGUCCAAGUCUCCGAUGCCAGACUGCUUCACUGGUUAUUUGUUGACGAUUUGAGUAGAAAGUAUCAUGAACCUGAGAAUCCUUUAGCACGUAGAGAUCAUUGCGUCUGCUCCCUUUCAUGAGGAGCUGUUUUGUCUGCAGAUCCUUUAUUUGAACCGAAUGUGCAUCAAAAGUAACAGAACAAGGAUAAUCAGCUGUUAGCUUGGAGACUGACAAAAGAGAUUUUUUGAUAGCAGGACAAACCAAAACAUCAUCUAGUGGUAAAGUACCUUUCAGAGUAGUAGAACCAACAUGUGUAAUAGGCAGAAAAUCACCAUUGCCAACUAUCACUGAAUCUGCCCUUGCAUAAGGUUCAACACUCUGUAAAGCAGAAGGAGAGUUUGUAAUAUGUGCAGUAGCCCCACUAUCAGAGACCCAUUCAUUACCUGCUGCAUACUCUUGAUCAGAAACUCGCAUUGCAUUCAAAGCCUGAGCAAUAUCAGUGUUGUAGUAGUCUUCUUCAAACCGAUGAUAACACUUGUAAGCAGAAUGUCCAAACUUCCCACAGAUUUGACAUGUAGGUCGGUUAUCAGCUUGAGAACCAGUGCUAAACUGCUGCUGAAAACCUCUACCAUGAGUUGAAUAGGAUCCCGAACCUCUACCUCCUCUGUUACCUCCUCUUGAUUGACCACGACCUCUGUUGUUACCAGAAUAUCCACCUCUAUUAGAGUAUCCUCCUCUAUUGUUGUUGGACUGAGAUGAAGAAUAUCCAGGCUUGUCAAAAUAAAAGGCCAGAUGUGGAGUAACUCCUGUUGCAGACUCAUAUUGUUGAAUCUUAUCAUCAAAGUUUGUGAGUUUAAACUCAACAUCUUCAAAACAUGGACCAGGAUAGGAUUCCAUAGAUUCUUCAAUCACAGUACUAAUGGACUCAUAUUCUUUCCCUAAACCAGUCAAUGCACCAGAUAUCUUUUCAUGUUCAGAAAGAGGAGCACCAAUAGAAUCAAGUUGAUCACACAGAGAUUUUAUUUCAGCUAAAUAAACAGCCAUAGUCUUGCCUACUUUUGUUGUUGAAUGAAUCUUCUUCUGGAGAUCUAACUUUCUAGUAGCAGAGACUCGGUUAUACUUUUUAGCCAGAGAAAACCAUACCUCUUGAGAUGAACGAAGACCAUACACACUCUUAAGAGCAGUUUCUGAAAGAGAUCCAAACAGCCAGGCCAUGACUAGCUGAUCUGAUUGUAUCCAUCUCACAAACUCUGGAUUGCUGAUCUCUGUAGCUUGGCCAUUGUUAUGAACCACCAGUGUUGGAGUCGGACGUGAAAUCGCCCCAGUAACAAACCCUAAAAGCAUCUGACUUGACAAAAAUUGCUCAAACUGUAAUUUCCAGAGCAAAUAGUUGUUGUCAGUAAGCUUUAGAGUCACACACUGAGAAAUGGUAACAGUAGGUCUAUAAAAGGUUGUAGCAUCAGAUUGAUGCUGAGCUUGAAAAGAAGGUGAUAAAGAUGGAGAUGGUGAAGGAACAUGAAAUGAUGGAGGUGGUGGAAGAUUCAUAGAUCCAGAAGGAGACUGAGAAAAGAUGACAGCUGCAGUCUGAGGAAUAAGAACUGCAGGAUUUGAGACUGGUUGAGAACUCAUAGAUUGAGAACUCAUAGAUGCGGAAGAAGAGCUAUCCAUGGCUCUGAUACCAUGAAAGCUUUUACAAAACUUAGAAGAUAAGAAUGGAGAAGAAGAACUUUUGUUAUUAUUAUCAACUCAACGUUUACAAUCGUAGUACAUAGACUAUAUAAAGACAAGGCUCUCUAAUGAUAGUACGCCAGGUGUCCUUAGCUGCACAUGAUGAGAGCAUCAAAUCUGUUAUUGAGGAAGCUUCUUGGAAGGCUCCUUUGCGCUGAGAGCACACAACUUUUGUGUGUUGGUUUUGGCGGUAACACCUGAGAAGACUGAGAGAUGGGCUUUGACUGAUCUGAGAUCGAGUGGGCUUGUGGUAAAGGCCCAACUUCAGUUUUGCUUACCAAAGCCAAAACCUCUGUUUGAGACAGAGUCUUCUUCUCUUCAAUAAUAUUUUGUGGACUCUGUUGAUUCUUUUAAGUUUUAACUAAAUUUUUUUAAAUCCAAACCGACUGAAGGAAAAACUGAAUGCCCAAGCUUUUUCUAUUGCAUGAUAGCAUGACCAAAGAAAGUAGUUGUAUGUCAAGCAUAUUGUCUCUUAAGUAUUAACGCCCAUGCAGUUGUAAAUUAAGCUAGAGAUUUUCGUCCGUUUAUUAUGCAUAAAUUUAAGAUAUGAAUACUUAUUUCAUGAUAUUCCAUAUCUAUUUCUACUAAAUAAACAGUCACUUUACUAAAAACUGCCACACUCUUCUUCUGACACGUGGCAAAACUUUCAAAUUUUGUUGUUUCACUUUCGUAAUCCAUUUUUCCUGAAUUUUUUGACAAAAAAUAUAUAAAAUAUCUUACCACUUUCUUUCUUAGUAACUUCUUCUUCUCUUCUUUUCCAUAACCUUAGAUCCUCCAUUCUUUCUUCGAAAUCCUCCAUUUUUUCUCAUAUUUUUUUUAAAUGAGAAGUCGAGAACCAUCCACUAUCUUUUAAUAUUUUUUUGUUUUAAAUCUAUAUUAAAAAAAUCCACGUUUUUAUUUUCUUCAUAAUCCACGAUCCCUAACACAACUUCAAAUCUCAAAAUCGUUUUAUUGCAAAUGCAGAUGUAGCAGUACUUACUUUUAAUGUAAAAACAGUUCCUAAUCAGGCCUCAAAAUCGUCCUUCAUGCUCGACCACGAGUAUAAUGCGUCCAUCAAUUCCCGGUCCAUCCUCGGCGUUUAUUCAAUACAAGUAAGUUUUGAAAACAAAGUUUGAAUUUUUGUUUUCCUUUCGUUUUUCAUUUCAUAUUCGUUCUUUUCUCCUUCUUUUUUUCUAUGAUUUUACUUUGCUUUUUAUUAGACAGCAAGAGAACAAAAAGUUUGGAUCCUCAAGCUUAGCUUCAAAGAAAUUAAAAUAUUAUUAGAUCCUCAAACCAUGAUUGGAUCAUCAAAUCAAGGUUUCAAUGAAGAAGUUAUUUUUAGAACGAAAUGGAAAGAGAAGCAUGUUCGGUUUGCUAGGAAAUUCGGAGAUGGAGCAAAGACUUUCCACAACCAGUAACGUAUAGAUUGACUUUUUAUAUUUAUAAUUAUGUAGUACGCUCACAAAGUUUGUCGUAUUUCAUCAAUAAUUUGUUUGUUUCAUAUAUUUUUUUUAACUAUAUAAGAUAAUGGAUUCAAUGCACUUCUAUUUUAAAAAAAAAAACUAAAAACAAUAUAUAUUUAAUUUUCCCAAAACAUUUUGAAUUAUGAUGUAAAUUAGUAUUUAUUUUAUCCAUGUAUAGCAGGGGCAUAAUAUUAGUUAUUCGUUAAUGCACCAUGCAUAUUAUAUUAUUCUUGAUUCAAAUGCAUGAAUCGAACAUAAUUAGUCUUGUUUAGCCCAUAUUAUACUUAAUCCAUGUGCUCCAAUCGGAAUUCAGUCGUAAGUUUCUUAAAGAACCUUUAUCAUCAAAAAAACUAACAUUAAUGGUUAUUUUCCAUACAUAUAAAUUGAAACAAACCUUAAAAAAAAGUUAAUCAAGAUUCAAACACUUUAUCGUACUAAAUUGUAUGUGGGUCUUACUAAAUUUAUUCUAUACCAAACAAAUCAAUAUUGCAAGAGGUUAAUUUAGUCCCAGAUUAACAUAGUUAGUAGCAAAUUUUUCAUGUAUAUAUGAAUUUUGUUGAAAGGGACACAAAAUAAAUAACUAAUAGAGAUAGGUUUAUCUCAUAAAAAGAAAAACUAUGAGGGAUAAUAUUAUCCCACAUUGGAAAGGACAAGGGAUCUUGACUAGUAUAUAAGAUAUAUGGGUCUCUCCACUCAUCGCCAAUUGGUUUUGAGUUGGAAGCCCAUAUUCUAGAUUGGCUCUAGCCAUUGAUCUCGGUAUGCUCGUGCAUGGAUCGUCGGGCAACUAUUGGUCGAUGGUGGAUUGGAUUUGGACAUGUACGGAUCGGACUCUGAUACUAUAUUAGAAUAUGGGCUUCCAACUCAAAACCAAUUAGCAAUGGGUGGAGUGACCCAUAUCCUUUAUAUAUUACUUAGGAUCUCUUCCAACUUCCGAUGUGGGAAAUUAUGUCCUAAUAAAAACAAGUAUCUUAAAAGAAAAGGGAAAAUUAGUGACAACCAGAUGAGAAUAGGAUUAAAGUGUUUUUAGUGUCCUACAACCAUGUGGCGGUUGACAUCGUCCAGAUUAUAAUUGUCAUCCAUACUUCCUUGUCUUAAAAGUGAUCUAAUAACAGUGUCAAAAUGAUAACUUCGUCUUCUUCUUCUUUUGUAUUAUAGGACAAUUGCGAAGAAAAUUCCCAAUUUUGUAUAUACAGUAAAACCUCUAUAAAUUAAUAAUGUUAGGGCCAUAAAAUUUUAUUAAUUUAGAGAGGUAUUAAUUUAUAGAAAGAUUUUCCUAAUUUGGUAAUUUCUUAAAAAUUACCAUCUAAAAAUAAAAAAUUUCUUUAUAAGCAAUAUCUUUUUUAAACCAAUUGUAAGUAGAGAAGCAAUUAUUAAGUUUAAAAAACAACACAAAUUUUUUUUAAUAAUAGAGUCAUAUUUCAUUAAAAAUUUUACAUAUAAUAUUUUAAAUAUAUAUCGUAGUAAUUCAUAUAUGAAAUAUAUAAAUUUAUAUCAUAUAUAUAUUAAGUUAAAUAUACAUAUAUAUAUAUAUAUAGGUUUAUAUAAUUAUUAAUUUAUGAUAUAGAUGGGACUAUACGUUUAUAUGAGAUUUUCAAAAAAAAUAUUAUCUUAUUAAUUUAGCGAGUUAUGUCAUAUUUUACAUUGGUCCCAACUCGGGACCGGAAGAAUUUAUUAAUUUAGAGAGGUUAUUAAUUUAUAGAAUAUUAAUUUAUAGAGGUUUUACUGUAUCUCAAGAUUAGUUUCGUUUUAUAGUAACAAAUGAAAAGACUUUGAAGUGUGACCUAUUUAAUAUGUGAUCAUCAUCGGUUAGCAGGCUAGAAAAAUAUUGUACUUAUGUAAAUUAAUUUUGCAUAUUAACUGUUGCAUGUAGUGAUAUAUGUAAGUAUGUAACUAUGUAAAUAAGGUUCCAAUAAGAAUAAAUUUAAGUGCAUGUCUUCAAAAAAUGAGUUCUUUUAAGUUUCUAUAAACUUGUCAGAAACUUAUUUUUUUCAAUCAUGCAACACAACUAAUAAAGUUAUAAAGAAAAUAUGACUGGACCAUUAGAUAGCUAUCGACUUUUUGAAUUAUUGCUAAAUGCUCUAUCCUUGAACAUGUAAAAUAUAUAUAUAUAUAUAUAUAUAUAUAUAUAUAUAUAUAUAUAUAUAUAUAUAUAUAUUUGUGGCUAAAAAUUGUUGAAAUCAAUAAUUUGAAUGUGUAGAACCUUUUUUCAGUUUUUUUUUUCUUGAAUUAUUUAUAUACUUCUUUGAAAGUACAUAAAAAAUACAGUAUCCUAAAAUAAAACGAAGGAAAUAUAAGAUUAUGUGUCACGGUUAAGUAGACCGUAUUAAUUAGAGUUUGUACCGGUAAACCGGAUGUGGUUAUUUCACUAUAUAUUCUCUACCACAUGUAACAGAUCAUUUGUGAGAAAUACAAACUUUUAUCUUUUCUUCGAUUUCUCACGAAUAUUAAUAUGGUAUAAGAGCACAAUUCUUCCGUUUUUCGUCGCAAAUUCCGCCAAUUCUUCGAGUUUACUUCAUUAUCAUCUCCAUCAUCGAUUUCAUCCAUUUCCACCAAUUUUUCUUCGUUUUCUUGAAUUUUUCACUUUUCCGAUCAAAAUCCGCUGAAUACGAUGGUUGCUGUUCACAAUUUACCGCGUCGUACUCUGUGAUCACGUCGUUCAGAUGAAAGAACUCCUCCUAUACGCGAAUCAACUCCGGCUUCAUCGCCAGUGGCUCAUAAUUCUCCGAUUUUCACUCAAAUGGCUUCCGAUCCUCCGAUUGAUUACACGGAUUUGUACUCUCAUUAUGCUUUGACGAGUGGAGACAAUCCGGGGAAUGUUAUCAUCACCGAGGUAUUAGAUGGAACCAAUUAAUCUUCUUGGACUAUCGCUAUGUCUGUUGCACUCGAUGCGAAGAACAAAAUGGCUUUUAUCGAUGGAUCUCUUCCUCGACCUCUUGCUACAGUCACUAGUUUUCGUUAUUGGUCUAGAUCAGUGGCGGAGGUAGGGUGUUAGUAGGGGGUCACUUGACCCCCAUAACUUUUAGAAAGUUUUGUUUAUUAGGCUUAAUUAUUUGGUAUUUGUUAAUAAUUUUGUUUAAAAUGUUAAUGUUGACCCCAUUAACUUAUCUUCAAAUCAUGUUUUUGCACCCCUUUUAUUAAUUUUUUUUUCUAUUGACUCCUGUCAAAUUUAUUUCUGGUUCCGCCACUGGUCUAGAUGUAACAGCAUGGUGAAGUCUUGGAUCUUGAACACUGUGAGUAAACAGAUCUAUAAGAGUAUUCUUCGCUUUGAUGAUGUGUCUGCAAUUUGGAAGGAUAUUGUCCCACAUUGGUUGAGUUUGUGAUUUUUGGGUAGUAUAUGUGUUAUGGCAAUCCUUCUCCUUUGAGCUAGCUUUUGGGUGUGAGUUAGGCCCACACUAAUAUGGUAUCAAAGCCCAGACCUAAUUCUGAUUGUGGACCACCCGUGGAUGUCUACUCCCACAAACUUCACGCUUCAGAUAUCCAGUCUUGAGCGUGAAGGGGGUGUGAGAAUAUUAUCUCACAUUGGUUGAGUUUGUGAUUCUUGGACAGUAUAUAUGUGUUGUGGCAAUCUUUUUCCCUUGAGCUAGCUUUUAGGUGUGAGUUGGACCUACAAUAAAAAAAAUAGGAUGCACGUAGACAAAUUUACUCUCUACUUUUAAAAAAUGACUGGUCCAUGGAAGUUGCUUAGGUAAGCAAAAAUAUUAUAUUAACGUUUGUUAUUACUUGUAUUAAAAACUAACAACUAAUAUGUGUAAUUAUAGUAUCACAUCCAUAGGUCAAUCUGUUGUCUACACUCAUUUAUACCAUUUGAAACUACUAUCCACAUUUAGACUAACUUGCGAAACCGUUUUGUUUUUGCAUCUAACUUGCACGCAUAUGUAUGCACUGGAAAUUUUAAAAAUUCUACACAUAAAGUGAAGGACUACGUACACCCUUUUUUCUUUAGACCAUCCAGCCAACAAAACUUCCCUCCAACAUAAAAGCAUAUGGUAUAUAUAUAUAUCCUAUUGAAAUAACAGUUGGAUGGUGCCAUCAUUGUUUACUUGACUCUUGACUAUACCUUUCAAAACAUUACUAAGCCUUUGAAAAGUCAGUUUCAUCGCAAUCAGAUUUGGUGUUCAAGAUCGAGCCAUUCCUAAAAACUACCUAAAAACCAUGUUGAAAUAUAUAAAUUUAGACAUAGUUGUGGUCAACAUAUUUUACUAAAAUUACAAAAGAAGUUUGUAGGAAUCGUGUGAACUAACUAAAGAUUGUUACGGCCGGUAAAAUAUAAAAAUUAUAUUCCUUAUUAGCAAAUUUAAACCGUAUAAUUGAAGGAAAAAAAACGUAGAAAACAAUAAAGGAAUAAUUGGCACGACGUUAAGCUUAACUUUACAUGGAAUGAUAGAGAGAAAAGUAGAGAUUUCACAUCAAUUAUUUCUAUUUUUUCCUUUUUCUUUGCAUUGCUUUAGUGAUAAUUCACAUUAAUUGGCAAUACACACCAUGUGAGAAAUAUUCAAAGGAACAGAAUAGGACAAGCUCCAAAGAUAAUUGUUUACCUGUCACUUGUCUUGUCCCACUUUCUAAUUGUAUUUGAUAACUCUCUUAUCAUUGUUUUCUACAGUUUUAUCAUUAGUUAGUCACUAUUAUAUUACCAAAAUUAGUUUAGUAAUAGAUUAAGUCAAGGUUAUAUAUAUUCCUAACUACUAAAUGUACAAUAUUAGAUUAUUCAAGUAAACGAAUCAAUUUAAGUUCAUUGAUUAAAAACUUGGCAGGACACGGCCGGCUGAAACCUACCACCCCUACUUGAUCCACAAUCUUUGGUAAGAUAAGACUAAUUAAACCCAUGGGAAGAUACUAAUUAAUUUUGUUUUUCCUUUUAAAAAAUUAUUGAUCUAAGUAAGGUUCACAAUCUUUGGUACUAAGAAAAUUAAUUUAAGUUGGAAAUAAAAAUUAGAAUGAUAGUUAUAAUAAGUUAAAUAAGUUUCGAUAUAAACAAUCAAAACAUGUUCAAAUAACAAAAAAUAUAACUAUAAAUAUUUAACUUUUUAUAUCUAUUCUAUAUAACAAAUAAGUGCUUCAUCUUCAAUGAUACCAAGAAAAUAUGAUUGAAUAUAGGUUAAAACUUUAUUUAAUUCCGAUGUAGUUAAUUAUCUCAUCCAUGUACUAAAACUCUUUUCUUUUGUUAUCUCUAUUGCUCUCAUUGUAAAAUAAGUAGUAUUUAAACAAGAAUUACUAAAAUGAAAAACACACACCUAAAUCACUUAUAUUUUUUUUUCUGUUAAGUACUCCUAAACUAUUUAAACAAAUGCACAUAAAUAUCUUAAUGGUGAUAGUUUAUCAAUAAAGUAUCUGAAAUUAGCAUCCUCUUAUUAAAAACAAAUCUAAAUUUUAACAUUAAAAAAAAAAAAACACAAACUAACAAAUCAAACAAAACACAAUUACACCACAAUAGUCUAAAAAAUAAUAAUACUGGCAUGGGAUCCACAAAACACACUGUCAGAAAAUCUUCAGAGUUUCAGAGAACAAGAAGAAGAAGAAGAAUAAAACAGUAAAACCAGAAAACAUAUCUAUUCUUACAUUUUAUCUCUUCUUGUUCUUGUCUCUUCCAUUACCAGAAAACAUCGAACCAAAACCAAACAAAUUCCCAGAAGGAACAACGUUUAUAACCGGACUCACUCUAAUCCCACCACCUCCAUGACUACCAUAACUAUAACCUCCAUAGCUUUUCUUCAAUGGUGGUUUCGAAAAACCAUUAUUACUCAACGAAGACGAAGCAGAGGAAGAAGAAGACAACGAUGAAGAUUGUUGUAGCUUCACAUGUUCGUUGUGUUUCCUUGAGCUGCUCUGUUUUUGUUUACUCGACGUUGAACCGGUUGAAUUACUCCGGUUUAGUAACGGUAACGGACAUAAACUCCGACCAUAAGUACUUCCACAGUUUAAACUACUGCUUCUCUUAAACCCCCAAAACGACUUCGUAUUGGUUUUCUCCUCCGUCGUGAUUAUCACGUCGUCUUCUUGUUGUUCUUCGUUUUGUUUCCUCUGUUUUCUUGAAUCUGGUUUAGUCUUAACCGGUUUUGUAUCUUUCGAUUCGGGUUCUUUUUUUCCCGGUUCUGGUUUUUUCUUGAUUUCUGUUGGUAAGAUUUUGCCGUUAGAGAAGAGUUCAUCAGCGGACCAAGAACCUUGAUCGAAGCUUUCGCCGGAAUUUACGCCGCCGGGAAUGCAGAAAUCGAAAUCAAUGCUUGAAUUGAGGCUUGACGGUUUAGAGUUUGAUGAUCUUAAGGGACGUUUCUCGAUUGGUAUUGCGUCUGAUUGACAAAAGUCACGUGAAAAUGAGAUUCUUGGACUCAUAUUAGAAUUUUCCGAUAAAAGAUCCACCGCCAUUUUCUUGAAGAAGAAGAAUUUGAAAGGUUUUUUUUUAUAUAUAGUAAAUGAGAAUUUAUGAAAACGAAGAGAUUUUUUUUUUUAGUUUCUGGAGAAAAAGAGGAGAAGGAGAAUUUCGAAGAAGAGAGAAAGAGAGAGAUUUGGGGAGGAAGGUGAAUUUAAUUAUUUUUAUAGGUGAUUUUAAAGAAAAUGAAAUUAGGAAUUAAAAUGAGAAAAUAAUGAAAUUUAGAAUUUUUUUUUUUGUGAAAAAGAGAAAAAGGAGAAUAAAAAAUGGUAAUAAAAGAGGGGACAAAGAAGCGUGUCGUUUGCUACAUAUUCACAUGCAUGGGCCAAAAAAUGGAUAUAUGUUGGUUCUUCACUUUCGUACCUUUUUUUUUUUUCGAAUGGUCUAAUUUUUUAUGUAAAAUAUUGAAACUUUUGAUUGAGAUAUAUUGAAACUUCUGUAAAAAAAAAUUGUUGAAGUCAAAAGACAUGGGCAAAAACUGCAAUGUUUGAAAUGUUUAGAGAGUAAAAUGUUCAGAUUCGUGUUGACCAAUCUGAUGAAGCAGUGAAUAUAGACCAAUGGUGUAAAGUUCACCGACCCAAGACUUUAACAACACAAUUACUAAAUUUGUCUAGGACAUUGUGAAGUUAAGGAGAUAAGUUUGUGGUAAGAGGUAUAAAGGAGAGGAAAAAAAAAACUAAAUUGUUUGGGUAUUGUUCAUGCAAGAUUUUUUUAAAUCGUCAUGAUGCGAGUUUUUUUUUUUUUAAUAAUUGUUGUGGAUCGUUUAUUGGAGAAAUAAAAUAUAUUUGUAUUACAGAAAAUAUAACCAACCAAAGUCAUUUAGACCACUAGGACAAGUGUGAUGUUUUCCGAAUAUCUCUUCUACAUUUAAGUAAGAAAACGUUUAUUCGAUUUUUGAAAAGCAAUGCUUUCUAAGUUGUUUGUUUAGUUCGGUCCCUUUAGUUUUUUGGGGUCAGUUUUAUGUGUAAGAAUUAGUCUUUUAUGUCAAAUUCUGGAUUUGGAUUCUCCAUUCUCUUUAGGUGGAAUUUUGUUUUUUUAAAAAAGAAGUAUUUAGAGAGUUUACCGAGUUUGGAUAUCGGAUCACCAUAUUUCAGGGUAGAUGGAUCAGUCACUUAUCGAUCUUUCGCAUAGUUCGUAAGUUUGGUGACUAAUGACUCUAAAGCACGUUACAAAACAUGUGUUCGAUAAGUUAGGGUAAUAUAGCAUCGCUACUGCUUUAUACGAGAAUGUUGCAUCCCAUUGAACAUUUACUUCACGUUUAAUAAGGUCGAGCACUAGCCAUUCUUCGAAUUUGAUGUAUUCAGGAUGAUAUUUACAUAGGAAAUCAGUUACCAGAAAGUCUUUUUGCAUGUUUGACACCCAAUUAUCACAACCUGAAAUGUUGGUGCUUUUGAUUGAAAUUUACCCCAACAAUAUUGUUACUGCUAAAACUAUUAGUUGAAGUUAGCCAAAAACAUUCAACAACCUCAAUUAAUUCGAUAUUUAAACAUUUUGAUCCAACCAUUUAUUUGCAAUGACUAUACCGACCUUACUGAACCGUACCAACUACAUUUAUCUACGAUGCUUUUUAUGAGUAUUGAAUUAGGAGCUAAACGAUACAAAUGUUGCUGUCUUAUUAUUCAGUUUUUAAAUUAUUAACCUAGUUUGUUCUUGUCUUUACUAAUUUAGAAUAUCCGUUUAUUUUUAAGAUUCUCAGUUUAGGUUUAAUUUAAUGGUUAGGUGAGAAAUUAAUUAUAAGUACAAAAAUCAUAAUAAAAUCAAUAAGGGUGGCAUUGUUGAUGAUAUUUACCUCCAAACUAAUUUAUAAAAGUCAGACACAAUUGUCAAAUUUAUAUAUCAAGAACAUAGUUUUCUUUAUAAGUAGACCAUAAUACAAUUUCGUUGUUAUCCACUUUUGUAAAAUAUGAAAUGUAUAUAUCAAAGAUUUGUUUUUUUUUUAAUUGUCGCUAAUUGUGCGUUUUUGUUCCUUUCAAAUUUGGAUUAUAUAUUUAUUUUCUAUAUAUAUAUAUAUAUAUAUAUAUCUUAUGUAUAUAAAAAAUUUAUUUUUGAUAGAGAAAUGAACUUCUUUGUAUUCUAAUAGAUGGCUCUUUUGUGAAAGAAAAGUCUAUAAUUCUUUAUUUAUACUCUUUCUUUAUUUAAUAUGAUGAGUCAUGCAAGUUUGCUUUUCAUAAAAUUGAAAUCGAUUUUUUCUUAAAUUUGAAGUAAAGAAAUUGUUAUAAGAUAGAAAUAAAGAAAGGGGAAAAGGAGAUUUCACAUUAUCUAGAAAAUAAAAGGGAAUUUUAAAAAUUAAUUAAAAAAUUUGGGAAUUAUAUGAAAAAAAUAGAAGACAAAGUAAGCAUGGCCAUGGGUCCGAUGGCUACGUAUUUACCGAAAACGAAGAAUCCCACUAAGGGAAGUGAAGGGUUAAGAGAUGGUCCACGUUUCCUACUAAAACAUUUUCCUAUCCAUUUGGAUCACCCACGAGCCCACCUUGAAACCAACCCGACCCGAUUCGACCCAACCAAGAAUUGCCUACUUUGGCUGCUCUCGAUAAUACUAACAGGAACUUGUCCAAUUCCGUUAGGGUUUGGUUAUGAUGACGGACCCAAGAAAUAUCGGAUUUUUCUGAUCCUAGUAAACAAUAAAGAUGGUCCAGUCCGACAAAUAGCAUUGGUGAUGUUUUUUGCUGACAAUUACCGAACACUAAUAAUAAAACUGCUUUUGUUUUCUACAUAAAUUUUAUAUAUAUAAGAAGAAGAAAGCUCUCCAUGUUAUGAUACUUGAGCAUCCAAAAUGAAGAUAGACAUAAACAAUCAAAAUUUGUCUAAUGAAAACUUAUUAUUAUUUUUUUUUUCAUCUGAAAACUUAUUAUUUUUCUCCAAAAUUUGAAGUCUAUUCAUCUUCCUUUUUUUUCUUCUAAAGAAACGUUACAUGUGUUUUUUUACAGAAAUAUCUAGCUAAUAGAUUACAUAGUACUAUUUAAUAUUUAUAUACCAUUUAAUAAUCUUAUAAAAAAUCUUUGAAUAAAGUAGUUAAAUAAUUUGGUAAAGUAUAUAUUUACAUGAUCACAUCUAUAAAUACACAAAUCACGUAUAAGUAUACUCCCUCUAUUUCACAAAGAGUGUCAUUCUACCAUUUUUCACACAAAUUAAGAAAACUAAACAAAUGUAAUUUUUACCCCAUAUUAAUACACUAGAUAAUACCUUUUAUAUAAUUAAUAAGCUGAAAUAGUAGGGAUAAAAAGAGAAUUAAUCUUAAAAACUUCACUGAAAACGUAAAACGACACUCUUUGUGAAACAAAUUAAAACCUUAAAACGACACUCUUUGUGAAACGGAGGGAGUAUUUGGAAUUUCAAAUUUUGUCACAACAUCAUUAACUAAAUGUUUGGCACGAAAAUUUGUACCGAACCGCAAUAUACCACAUAUGUAAACAAUGUUUCCCAAAAUUGGUUCUUUAAUUUUGAGCUAAUCAAUUAAAGUUGUUGACAAAAAAAAUUAUAACUAAAUGAACUACAUAAGCCAUUAAUAAUAAUUAUGAACUACAGAAGAUAUAUAAUUAGGGAAAAAUAAUGAUCAAAUGAACUGAAUUAUAUAGAAUGCUCAUGAAUUGGUAUUUUUAGAAUUGAAACACAAUGAAAGUUAUAUUCUUUUUCGAAAUAAUUAUGUUUUUAAUUAUACAACAGAAGAGAAUAUAAGGCGGAUUAGGCUUCGGUGACUUAUUAUCAUUCAGAAUUUUUUUUCUUUUUUGUUAAAAUCUUUUAUCAUUUUGAGUAAGCUCUCUUAGCUAAUCAAGUUUGGAAGCUACAUCAUAGACCAACUAGUUUCGUAUACAGAGAUCUACACGGACACUACUUCUCACGAGGGACGUUGUUAACGGCUAAAGAAGGAUCAUAAGUCACAACCAUCUUAUGGUUGGACCUCCCUUCUAGGAGGUCGUGGUGUGCUACUUACUGUGGCUCAAUGUUAUAUAGGCAAUGGUAGAAGCAUCAGAUUGGGUCAGGAUACAUGGCUCCCGACAAUGCUAUAGACUACCUCCACUUAAUGUUGAUCCGAACUUACCACUUUCAAGUUCUACUCCACACAAGUACGGAACUCUGGAAAGAGGAUAUGCAUGCAAAUCUAUGUCUCAAAUGAACAUAAUGAGGAAUCUUUUUCUCUCAUACUAUAUGUGAAUUUGGAGAGUUUCAGAAUAUAUUUAAAUCCAUAAUCAGAUUAUAAUUUACACUCACCGAAUCCAUGAUAAGAUGUCGGAGAAACAAUCGAUACUUGGCAAAUAGAUUAUUAUUCACAUAAAAGAGAGACAAAAAAAUAUUGAAAAGAAUUUCAGAAUCCAUGUAAUUUUACAUCAUAUUUUCUGGACAAAUGUGUUAAGUUAUUGCUUUUUCUAUGUGAGAGUCACUAAGAAAGUGUUUACCUCUAGUCUAAGAUUCUGAGUUACACAUGGAAUUGUAUGAAAUUGGACAUCAAGAGAAUGAGUUACUAAAGUGAAUUCCUCCAAGUCAAUUGAAUAAACAGCCAAUUCAAGAGAUUAUAUACAUACAAUGAUGGUGAUAAAAUCUUUAUUGAAAAGAAGCUCAAUUAUAUAUCUAUACAUGAAGUUCUUAUGAAUUUGUUUGCAUAAUGUACUUCUAUAGGAGAAUUUUUAUACAAUACUGUCUUUAACCACCUCCAUUAUCAGAUCACAAGUUCCACUCUAAGAAUCCAUUGAAUUAUAUACCUGAGAAAUGUGAUAUCAAGAGAAAAUUGCUUAAACUAAGUUUCUGGUCAAUGUAUGUAGAUAAUUCUGUUCUGUAGGAGAGUUUUUGUAUCAAAAUAUGUGUUUAACAGAUUUUCAAAUGAUUCAUACUUUUUUUAUAUCCAAUAUUGAUGAAGAGUUACUCUGAUAAUCUUAAAAGUAGGUUAUGUAAUGUGGGAACAUGUUAAGAAAGAAAUAUUGAUCUCUUUAUUCCUUAACCAGCGCAUAGUACAAUAUUCAUGGAGAGAAGACUAGAACACAAUUUCUAGCUUCAGCUCUCAUCAAUCUCACAUGCGAGAUUUUGUACAAUCAAUUGCAUAAUAUAUCCUCUCUAAAAAAUGAGAGAUCCUAUCUAUACUACAACUGUAAAAAAUUUUGUUCAAAGUAAUUCGUAAUUAGUCAAUUUUACAUCCAUCAAUUUAAAUAUAUCUCUUAACGUAUAAGACAUACAUAAUAAAGAAUAUCAAUGCUAAACAAGCUCGCUGGAAAAGAUAAGAACACUACUAUAUAAAGUAUAACCCAAAGAUGAUAUAUGGAUUUAGCUAGACGUGAUUCUCCUCAAAGCUAGGGUAGAAUUUCUCGGAAGCCAUGUUUAAUGGAACAAUCCUAUUUCUUAUGAGAUAUGUUUUUCAAGUUUCCGUGCACAUUAUUUGGAGAGAACGAAACAAGAAACGACAUGGCAAACAACCCACCUUACCGACAAUACUUAACCAAGUCAUCGACCACAUAGCUCGAAAACAAAUAUCAUCUCUUCUCGACUUGAGCUCUAACAAAUUCGAGGACGGACUUCGUAUAAUUUGGUUUGGCUCUAGAAAUUCUCAGGGAAUCUUUCUAAAAAAGGUUACAUUCAAUGUAAAAAUGGUUUUUUUUUAGUGAAUAAAAUUUACAUUCAUAUAAAAAAAAGAAUUUUUUAUGUGCUUAUUUUAUAAAAUUCUUCUCAGUAUCACAAGACUUCAAAAAAACAUUGUCAAUUCAUACAAAAAUUUCUUUGAAAAUUUUGAUAGGAUCAAUUUCCUACCACUUUUCUACAAGGUUGUCACAGAAUAAUUAUUUCGUAGAAAAAUGGAAAGAAAGUUUUAGAGAAAAAAGUCAUAGAAAAUUUUCUACGAAACUCAUACAAAAUAUAUAGCCGUAGGAAAUUUCGUAAAAAAUUGGAAGAAAAGUCAUGGGAAAGGCAGUGGUAGAAAAUUUGAAGGAGCAACUUCUUUCCAAAUUCAUACGAAACGUUUCUCGUAAGAUUUCGAAUAAAUCUAGUAGGAAAUUCGAAGAAAAAUCAUGGGAAAAAGCCGUGGUAGGAAAUUCGAAGGAGCACCUCCUUCCAAAUUCCUAGGAAAAGUUUUUCGGAGGAUUUCGAAGAAAUCUCAUAUGGAAUUGGAAAUGGUCAUGGGAAAAGACAUGGUAGGAAAUUCGUAGAAGAAAGUUCAUUCCAAUUUCCUAUGAACUGCCUCUCAUAGUAUUUUUGAAGGAAUGUGGUAGGAACAUUAUACCAACAAAUUUUGUCGUAGGAAAUUUCCUACGACAAAAUUUGUUGGACAUUUAUAAACAUGUGAAAAAAUGAUUGUCUGCCAAAUAGGUGGAUAUGGGUAGGUUGGUGUAAUAGUAUAUAUUUUCAAAGGAAAUAGGUAGGUAAUCUAUAGAAAAUUGAAACUCUUUUUCUUAAUAUAAACUCCAUUCACAUUCGUUAAAAUUACAACAAAAACAAAAAUAUCAUCUACAACAAAACAAUUUUCAUUCCAAAAAAACUAAAAAACAUUUCAUACAACAAAAAACACAGAAUUAAUUUCUAUAAAAAAAAAUACCAAAAAUAUUCUAUAUGCUCGAAUAAAAAAAAGCAUCUUUUUCGGACAUGGAUAGACUAGGAAAGAUUUGCAUCUAACGUGUUAUUUACGACCAAGUAUACGGCAUGCCUCACCGAAUUCAUUACCCUCACAAUGAUCAGGAGUCUUGCUUAAAAAGUGGUAGGAUGUUUUUUCCUUAUCUAAUAUAUGAUAAUAAUGCAUUUGUCAAUAAAACUUUAGUGUGGUCACAUUUAUAUAGAGACGGAAUUAUGCAGAGAUACAAAAUCUGGUGUUAUCACUGGGAAAGUGAUACAUACCAUGUGGGUACUACUAGCGAAAAUGUCCCAGAUAGGGUAGAAGAAUCUACAUUCGCAGAAGAGGCGGUAGGUACGGUUCAAAUGGUACACAAUUUCCUAAAUGCAUCGUGAACCAUUUGAACCGUACCUACCUCUUCUUCUGCGAAUGUAAAUUCUUCUACUCUAUCUGGGAUAUUUCCACUCGUACUACCCACGUUGUAUGUAUCACUUUCCCCGUGAUAACACCAGAUUUGUAACUCGACAUAAUUUUGUCUCUCUAUUUGACCACACUACAACCUUAUCGCUAAAUGCAUCACUAUCACAUAUUAGACAAGGACAAAACAUCUUCCCAUUUUUUAAGCAAGACUCCUGAUUCAUUGUGAGGGUCAUGGAUUCAGUGAGGCUUGAUGCAUACUCUGUCUUCAGCAACACGUUAGAUGCAAAUCUCUCAUUUUCUAUCCAUGUCCGAAAACGAUGCAUUUUUUAUUUAACAAUAUAGAAUAUUUUUAAUAUUUUUGAUAUGAAUUAUUUUUGUGUUUUUGUUGUAUAAUUUUUUUUGUUUCUUUUUGGAAUGAAAUUUUUUUGGGUUUUUCUUUCUGUAGAUGAUGUUUUUUUUUUGUUAGAAUUUUAUCAAAUGUGAAUGGAGUAUAUAUAUCAAAUUUUAUACAGUUUGCCUACCUAUUUUCUAUGAAUAUAUAUAUAUAUAUAUACUAUUACACCAACCUACCAAUAUCCACCUACGUGCGCGACAAUCGUUUUUUCACAUGUUUAUAAAUUCUACGACAUAUUUGUAGAUAAAGUUCCUACCGUAUUCCUUCAAAAAUGCUACGAGAAACUAUUCGUAGGAAAUUGGAAGGAACUAUCUCCUACGAAUUCCCUACCAUGGCUUUUCCCAUGACUUUCCUUCCAAUUUCCUAUGAGAUUUCUACGAAUUUCCUACGAAAUUUCUUCAAAUUUCCUACCACGUUUUUUUCCUAUGGCUUUCAUUCUAAUUUCCUACUAGAUUUCUUCAAAAUCCUACAAGAAACUUUUCGUAGAAAUUUGGAAGGAAGUUUUUCAUUCGAAUUACCUACCACUGCUUUUCUCAUAACUCUCCUUCCAAUUUCCUACGAGAUGCUCUACGGCUAUAUAUUUUGUAAGAUUUUCGUAGGAAUUUUCCUAUGACUUUUUUGACGACUUAUUUCGUAGAAAAUUUACUUCCAUUUUCCUACAAAAUAAUUAUUCCGUGACAACCUGGUAGAAUUGUAGAAAUUGAUAUAUCCUACCAAAGAUUUCCUACGAAUUUGACAAUGUUUUUUUUUGUAGUAACGUAUCUUGUUUAAUUGUGUAGUGUUCUAGAUAUUCAAAUGGGUUUCUCACUGAAAAAACCAACUAUGAUGACCCGAAAGAUGAUUAUCGGGGCUGUUCUAGACGUUGCAACAUACGAGAGUGUGGUUAAGGACGAUGGGGUUAAUCCCAUGACAGUGACAAUGCUACCAUUCGGCGUUGUCUUACAUCCCGCAAAUGAGAAACGCUUCACUUUGUCGGUUGGUUAUCAAUUCGAGACAGACAAGGUUAACGCCGAUGAAGCGAAGAAAAUGAUUUCUCAAACUUUGAGAAACCUUACCAAUGCUCUCCCUCGGGCUGAAAAGUGCCAAUAGAUGUUUAUCCUCGCUCCACGGGAUAGUUGACUCUUUGCUUUGGGCAAUGCAGUGCCUAAUAUCACUAAGUGAAUUGAGGGUCACCUUUGCAUUUGAUUGCUUUGAUAUUAUCUCGAUGAUUGACAACUAUGCAGAGUGGCCAAGCUUUGCAGUGGAGAUGGCCAUUUUUCAAUUUUUUUCUUAUCUCUGUUAGAUUUAUUCCUCGUUGUAACAAUGUUCGGACUGAUUGUUUAGCCAAGAAGAUGCACGUUUGUGGUACUCUCUUUUUCCACGUACGCUCAUCGGUUUCUAAAUGAUUCUCUCUAAAGAAGAAUCUCUUUUCAAUAACUUAAUAAAAUUGGUGUGUGGUAAAAAUAAAAAUUUACGCUGUGUUUCUGUUAAAAAAUAGGUGAUCCAAAGUUGUCUCAAAAAACAUUCUCAUACAUCAGUUCGUUCAAACAACACAAAAUCAUCAUUUAUAAUUAGUUGGAGUGGAUAUAAACAGCUAAAUGCCUCAAUCUAAACCGGAUUCUCUAAAUCUCAACGGGCUCAAGGCAUCUCCUUUUAGAAAGCUUAUUGAUCUUACCAGCCAAUUAUAGAUUCUUUGAUAUAUGCUUUCAUCUUCUCGAAUAUGUUUAUUACCAAAAAAAAAAUUGUAUAAAAUCAAAUAAUAUUAAAAAUUUGUAAAACUUAUAUGAACUUCAACGAGGUUAAGAAGAUGUUUCAAGGUUUACCAAAAAUUAUAUAAAAUCAAAUAGUAUUACAAAUUAAUCAAAAUUAUCACCAAAUUAGUUGAUAUUUACAAAAAUAUCUCUAUAGUUUGGGUCUUUUUGGCCCAAACAGUUUACCUGAUAGUCCAGUAACAGGUGAUCUGGCUAUCCCGUGACAUUAGUCGGAAAGCAUUCCAAAUUCGGAACAGACAGUGUGUGGUGGCCCUUCAGAGAGUAGUCUACUCUGAAGCACUUCGGUGUUUUUCUACUGUAGUUGACCGGAUCAGCCGAUAUGGUUUAUAAAUAAAAAAAAAUGCUAUAAACUUUUUAAAAGUUAUUGAAUUUGAAUUUAUUUUUUUUAAAUCUAUUUGUCGUUUAAUCAUGAAAAAAAAAAGAAUAGGAAAAUUAAACGCGUAAGAUCUAGUCAAUGUGGUCAUGGGAUGGGUCACCUAAUCAAAUCUUUUUCUCCCUAAAAAAAGAAGUAAAAAAAUUUCUCUCAAUUUCCUCGAAGAAGAAGAAGAACAUUAACAAACUUAAAAAAAAAAUGUCAAAUUGUCAAAAACUAAUAAACCAAUCAAAUUCCUCCAUUUUUUCCCUCUUUUCUUUUUCUUCUUCCUCCCAAUCAACUCUUCAGAUUCCAGGAAAGAGAGAAAGAAAGAUUCAAUCUUUAUUAGCCGGAGAUGAUGAAUUCGCCGAACUGGGAACUCCGUGGUUGUUGUAACCGGAAUCAAAAUACUUUCCUUAUCACCAUCGGAAUCUUCACCGUCGUUAUCCUUCUGGUAAGUUUUUUCUAAUGUCCGACUAUAAAGUUUGAAACUUUAUUUGUUAUCUUCGAUUUUGAAUGGGUUUUUGUAAAAUUUAGUCAAAAGGGUUUCCGAUUCACUUAUAAUUUCAACGAAAUUUUGCGAAUUUUGCGAUUGAAGUAUCAAAGUUUUUGUUUUUAUGAUCUGGGUUUUUGGUUGUGACAGCUAUGGAGGACAUUUCUAUUGACUCCAUUUAAACUCAUUACGGUGUUUUUGCAUGAAGCAAGUCAUGCCGUUGCUUGCAAGCUUACAUGUGGAGAUGUAAGGAGCUUUCUCACUUCAACUAUUAGUCUUCAAUGAACUUAAAAGGGUAUAAAGUUGGUUUUAGGUCACUUGAACCCUUGAUUUAGUUUGCAAACAUGAAUUGUCUCCUUCCAUUUUGUUUGAAAGAGCAGAGAAGAUAUUCUGGUUUCCUUAGAUAGAAAGGUUUUUACUUCAGCAAUAUGUCACUGCAUUCUCUCUGGACAUGAUUGUUAGUAGAGCCAUAGAUAAGAGGUUGCGGUAUCCGUAUUUGUCUUGCUAUCUGUUAUAUUCCUUACUUUAUUAGAUUUGUAUACGAUUCUCGCUUGCUUCCAUUGUUAAUGUGUAAACUACUAGCUUCUGUCAUUAUUUAUGAACACACACUGAGUUUACUUGAACAAGUGCAGCUGCUCAAGCUUUAGCUGUAGGUCUACUAUAACUUGCCUAGGACUGAAUGUAACACAUUAUAGCUCUUAAGAAAUGGUUAGAAAGCUUUUAGUGAGGGCUGGUUUAUAAAGAUGUCCCCGGAGAUUGUUAGGGUGUAGAUUCAAUGGCGAUUUUGGUUCUGUGAGAAUAGGAGUGUACAGCUUCAGCUCUUAGUCUUACUAUACUUCUGAUUGUGUUUCUUCUAGAUUGAUUGAUGCAUAUGACAAUAUGCAAGUAUUGCAGAGACAAUGUGAGAUCCACAAUUUUUUCAUUGCAAGUACUGUGUGUAUGAAACUUAUCUACCAUCUUCUCUCUAUGAAUCUUUAAGUUUUAUACCCUCAUAACAUUUAUCUUGAAUAGGCUGUGUAUAGUUUGCACAUAAACCACCAAAUGUGUGCACCAUCUCUCUGUGAUUCUGCAACUAACAGUCACAUAUAAUGUGGAUAAUGUGUUCCUACUAACAAAAUGUCACUCAUUUUGGUUAAUUAACUUCUUAUUGAAUCAAAAGGUAGAGGGGAUGGAGGUGAAUGCAAAUGAAGGGGGUUCGACAACAACACGUGGUGGCAUUUAUUGGCUGAUCUUACCUGCUGGCUGUAAUGCACAAUCUAUCUAUAUAUCUUACUUAUACAAAUCCAUUAUUUUUCGAAUUUAGUCUUAGCCUUUUUGUUGUUGAAUUGGUUAUAGAUCUUGGCUCAUCAUUUUGGGGAAUGGCAUUGAUUCUUGCAUCUACCAAUCUGCUGACAGCAAGAAUAGCUGCUGCUGGUCUGGGUCUUGCUUUAUUCAUCGUCCUAUUCAUUGCCAAAAAUGUAAGAAGAAGUCAUUAUUUCUCUUAUCUAACAAAGUUUUAUUUCAUUAACAUCAAAUACUGAGAUCUUCAAUUUUGACAGUGGACUCUUCGAGGUCUUUGUAUAGGUGUGUUGUCUCACGAAUCCUCUUGUUACAUUUUCUUAGUAAGCACCCACCCAAAAGCCUUACAUAGUUAUAUAAAUAUCAGGUUUCAUAGUUUUCCUCGCUAUCAUCUGGGUUCUACAAGAGUUAACUACAGUCAAAAUUCUCCGUUAUGUCAUUCUGUUCAUUGGUAAGAUACCAUUAAACUCUUCUCCUUCUUGUUAACAUCAUUCAGCCUCAUUUAGCCUAUAUAAAAUUGGGAUUCACAAUGUUACAGGUGUGAUGAAUAGCUUAUUCUCAGUUUACGGUAUGUAAUUCCUUCGUCCCAUUUACUUCACUUAAAAGUUAUGACUUAUGACCAAUAAUAAUGUGGCUGCGAUGUAUGGAUAUUAGAUAUCUAUGAUGAUUUGAUAUCUCGGAGGGUCCAUUCGAGCGACGCUGAGAAGUUUGCAGAGAUCUGUCCUUGCUGUACCGGUUGUGGCUGGGGUGUCAUCUGGUUAGAUUUAAAUACAACUCUCAGUUAUCAGAUUCUGAAAGUGAAAAUGAAAUCCUUAUUCUAACACUUUGUUUCCAUUUCAGGGGAAUGAUUUCAUUUGCGUUUCUUUGCGCGUCGCUCUAUCUCGGCCUAGUGAUCCUAUCAUAAAAGGGUACUCUUGUAUGAAUUUGUUGGUGUCUCUCAGGUUCAAAUUCUUCCCAGUGAAAUGCAGAGACAAUAGUUUGAUAAAAGCUUGAUUCUUUAAAUCCCUUGGUGUGCUUGGGAUUUACAUUGUUGAUUGAAUGUAUUUUUUUUUUUUAGAUUUUGGAGUGUGUUGAAUAGAAUUCAUUGACAAUUUGAUUUGGUCUGUUUAUUGCAUUAAAAGUUCGUUGACUUCUUUAACCCAAAAAAGUCCGUUGACUUCUUCAACAACAAAAAGAAAAAGAAGUCGGUUGACUUUCUAUAAGCUUCUAUUUUUGAACCUUGAAAUUGUUAAAAGCAUUAUUUUAAUUAUUUAUUUAGUUCCUAUUAUUUCUUGUAAGUGAAAUAGAAUGUUUUGAAGAUAAUUGUCGUAACGGAAAUUCCUAAGUUAUAAAGAGAAUACAACGAAAAAGUCUUUCAACUUUGAUCAAGUCCAUUUUAAUUCAUCCAUCUACACGAAACGAAUUUGUUAAAACCAAAACGUUGAGGACUUGAGGUGAUUUUUUCACUUAAUACACCAAAAUUGAGAAAAUUGUUUUUUACUUUUUACCUAUGUUGCAUGGAAACGAAAACGGAAACGUGGAAGCGAAACGUUUCGGAAACGGGAAACGAUUUUUUUCUAAAAUUAGGGAUUGGAAACGUUUUGGAAACGUGUACACAUAUAUAAUAUAUGUAUAUAUAUAAUAUUAGCAUAAAACUAUAAAAAUGGUUUAAUUAAACAAUAAAGUCUAAAACAUCAAAUAUUAAAUAGGUUAACUAAAAUUCUAAAAGAAAAAAGAUUAAAAGGUUCAAGUUCAAAUAUUUAAUUUAGACAAACAUUUUCAUUUUCAUUUUCAUUAGUUUCAUCGUAGAAUCAUAUAAAGAUGCCUCUAAAUCUAGUUUGUCGAUAAAAAGAUCUUAAAACUCAGAGUCUUCCAAAAUUAGUUAUAUGUAUUAUAAAUUUUAAUCUUUUCAACUUUUAUUUAUUAAGUUUCCAAAGUCAAUAAAAAAAUAUUUGUCGCGUUUCCAUUUUAGAAACGUGAGUUUCCAAACAUAGAUUUUUAGGAAACACGUUUACAUGACGUUUUUCGUGUUUCCGAAUAGUUUCCGUUUCCGAAACGUUUCGGAAACGGGAAACGGAUCUCGAAGAGAAUUUCCAUGCAACAUAGCUUUUUACUAAAAAUAGUUAGACAAAAUUUGAAGGCUUAUUACGGAAUAUCAUUUUCCCACGUUUCAAUGAACAACCUAACAACUGUAAAUGGUGCUUAGAAGGUUUUUUGGUAGUUCAUAUCAAGUUUGUCAUGUCCUUUAAUUUUUUGUUUUUUCUGGUUAAAAUGUUUAAUACCAUGUACAACACAAUAUGGCUUUAGUAGGAGGGGUCGAAUAUCGAAAUAUCAUUCAAUUUUCUUUGGUGGUUUUUUCAAGAAUUAUGCAAAUAAAGUUGUAGGAUAUCUAACUAGUCCAGGUUUGAUCCACGUUGGAAACAAAAAACACAUCUGUGUGGAAAGUCUGGGUUUGGGCCAAAAGUUUACUUGGUAGUCCAGUAACACGCGAUUUGGCUACCUCCUGAUAUUAGUCGGAAAACAUUUCAAACUCAGGACAGGCAGUGUGGUAGCCUUUUGGGGAGAAGUCCACUCUGAAGCACUUCGGUGUGUUUCUACCGGGACUGACCGAAUCAACCGAUAGAGUUUAUCAAAAAAAAUCUAACUAUUUUCUCGAUGGAGAUAUAACUAAUUUGACCGAAUACUAUAGAAUAUGUUCUUCUCCAUAAUAUGUUGGAGUUGGAGAUAUGCCAUAAAAGAUGUUGACACAUUAGGAACAAGAACCGGGUUCAAUAAGUUGAGGAAUACCGAAUACCAAACCGAACACCAACUUGGAGUCGUGGAGAAGAAGAUGACGUAAAGGUUAGAUGUGGAGCAUAACGAACUCCAUGUCACCGCCUAAUUACUUUUUCAACCAUUGACGAAGUCUUCUAACAGUAACCCUUCAUUCUUCAUAUGAUCCCUACUCCACCGUCACAUGAGAUUAGAAUUCUAUAAUUUAGGUUUAUGGCUAUUUUAUGACAUAGACGAAUUCAAUAUCUAAAAAAACACAAUUUAACCUAGCUAUUACAUAUGAUGUCGUCAUGCAUGAUAAUUGCCAACUAGUGGACGGAAGUUUGUAAAAGCUUGCAUCCACGAUUUAAAAUAUUGUUUGCAUGUUGUAUAAUUGAACACGUGAUAUAAAAAUUCUAAAUCUUUCGAUAUCAUUGGGGAAAUAUACUUUUUUGGAAGUUUCCCAUCGUGGAAAGCUCUUACCCUCUGCUAGGGUAAAAUUUCUUACUACUUAUAUUUCUUUAUGCGGAAGCCGGAAGCUAUCUUAUAAAAAAUCGGUCCAUUGACCAUUAAAUGGCCCAUUUCUGGAGUAUAUGCCCGUUCGUUCAUGUAUGAUGGAAAAAUUGGAAUCACACAUUUGCUCGAUAAUAGGAGCGAUUAUGGUGGUUUAGGCCAAACACAUGGACCAAACAUCAGAUUGCGUUUUUUUUCCACUAAGCCAAAACAAAAAAAACAAAAAAUAGUUUUGCUGUGUAAACACAACACACGAACAAAGGUUUUGGCAACCAUUAUCGGUCAUGUCGUAGUGAAAACCAUCCAUAUUGAAAAAUUCAUUCGAUAAAAUCUAUAUUUUGUACAUAUUUUUAUAGUUUUAGAUUUAUAUUCAAGAAUUGUUUUAUAUCCUUUUUUAUGUAUUAUUAUUAUGAAGCAUAUUAUCUUUUAUCACAUAACAAAAUAAUUUUAAAAAAAAAAUCCAUUUUAAAAAAAUUCCCAAAGCAUGCUUUCAUGUGUAAUAAUAAAUAUUAAAAAUGAAGAAUAAAUUAAGAUUUUGGUUUUGAAUUCAAUAAUUUCGUUUGUAACUAUACUAUUUUUAGUUUUGAUAUCCGGAUUUCGCAAAAAUAACACUUUCUAUCAAACUACAUUAAUAUGAUAUAUUAUAUAUUUUAUUGGGGUUUAUAGAUAAAGUUUAAAAUUUUAAAUCUGCAUAUGGAGCGGUUAUAUUUGCGUAUAUUAUAUUUUCUGUAAUCGAAGAAAAAUGAGGCUUCAUAUACAGUUGGAUUGCUAUUAAUGUUAUUUCUUUAUCAAACCAAGCAAGUGAUAACAAAAAUAAAAAAAGGUAUUAAUGUUGAAUUGUAAAUAAAGGAAGAAAUUUAAAUUAUGUCAUUUCAGAAGAGGAAGUAUGUCACAUGUAAAUAGAUCAUUGAUACUUUUCAAGAGAACUUCCACAAGAAAGCCAUUGACUUCUACCUUUCUAAAUUUCCAGCUUGACCCAUUUAUUUCUCAUGAAGUUAUAAGAACUUUACGUACUAGAUAUUUAAUAUGUUUACAAUAUUCAGGAAUUUAAAAAUAUGGUAGUAUCAACUAAUGUUGAAAUCAUUUGAUUUGACUUUUUAUUACCAAAAUUCAUGUAAUUUCUUUUAGUUCUUACCAAAAUAUUUAUGUGGUAUGCUAAUAUUCGUUUUUUAUUCUGAGAAAAUUUAACCCCAACCAAAAUAUUGAGUGGCAAGCAAUGUUCAACUAAUAUAUGAUAAGGAGAACAAAAGUUAUGGCAAGUUUGGAAAAAAAAAUCAAUUUAUUAGCAUAUUUUUGACUCAUGCGCAUCUCAAACUUUUUUCUUGAUCCUUCUUCCUUAUCUUAUCUUUUCUCAAAUUCUAUAUUUCCAAAAUAAAACACGCAAUUUCUAUUAUAAUUAUACAAUAAAAAACUCAAAUUAUCUUCCAAAAAUGUCUUUACCACUAUUUUUCAGAUUUCUCCUCCACGUCUACUGAUUGUCAUAGAUAUGUUUUAAAGAUGAGGCAUUAAUUCUCUUCUUGUUCACACGUAAGUAUAUACUUUUCAUAAUAAAAAAUUGUUUUUUUGUUAAUUCAUACUUUUCAUAAUUUAAUUCAAGGAAUUCUCGUGAACCGAUUUCUAAAAACAUUUACAAAAUUAGUUAAUUAAUGCAUAUCUUUAUUUCUACAUAAAGAAACACAUACAAUAUUUACUAUAUUGCUUCUAUAUUAAUAUUCUUCUUUCCAUAUAUAAAUGAUUGAAUUUUAACCCUCUUACAAGGAAUAUAUUUCAUUUACAUUAUAUAUAGAUUACAAGAAAAGCCCAUCAAUCUAUUAUUCUCUGAUUCAGCGAAGAAAAUAAAUAAAUAAACGGCCAAAAAAUGGGAGCAGACGCAAUCCAAACGAACGGUCACGAUCAAACCAAGUUAACCGGCGGUGAAGAGAUCCAACGGCUGAGAUGUUUCGUGAAGAACUACGAAUGGGGCAAACUCGGACCAGACUCAUUGGUGGCGAGACUCCAAGAGGCUAAUACAGGACAAAGAGUCGACCCGGAGAUUCCUCACGCCGAGUUUUGGAUGGGGACUCAUGAGUCUGGACCGAGUCAUGUUGAAUUCGGGUCGUUGGGUCAUGGUGGGUCUGAUAAAUGUAUGGUUACAUUGAAGUCGUGGGUUUUGGAUAAUCCGGAUUUACUCGGGUCUAAAGUCGUGGACAAGUGGGGUUGUGAUCUUCCUUUCCUCUUCAAGGUAAUGGUUAAUUUCUCUGUUUUUUUUGCUCUGUUUUGAAGAUGUUGCAUUUGACUCUGUUUUUCUUAUUAAUAAAUUGGAUUUUUGUGUGUUUUUAAAAGUUAAAAUAUACAGGUUUGGGUAUUAUCUUAUUAUAUAAACACGUAUAUAUCUACCAAUCAAAAUAUACAUUUUCAGAGUCUGUUUUAUGGUCAAUUUCUCUGUUUUCUUUCCUCUGUUUUGAAGAUGUUACAUUUGACUCUGUUUUUUUUUGUUAAAAAUUUGUUUUUUUUUAAAGUUAAAGCAUAGUUUUGAAUCUAAUGAUAAUUUUUUUGGUAUUGAAUUGUGAAAAUCAUUGUCACAUCUAAAAAAUUUCUGUUUUUUUUUUUUUUUUUUUUGUUCUGUUUUGAAGAUGUUCACAUUUGACUCUGUUUUUCAAAUAAAAGAUUUGGGGGUUUUUUGCGUGUUUUUAAGAGUUUAAAGCAUAUAGAUUUGAAUUUAAAGAGAAGUGUUUUGGUGUUGAAAUGUGAAAAUUUUAGGUGUUGUCAGUGACGAAAGCAUUGUCGAUUCAAGCACAUCCAAAUAAAGCUUUAGCAGAGAAAUUGCAUAGAGAAGAUCCUCUUCUUUACAGAGACAAUAACCACAAGCCUGAGAUUGCUCUUGCUGUUACUCCUUUUCAAGCCCUUUGUGGUUUCGUACCUCUUAAGGUACACAAUUUCAGAUCUUUCUCUCUGUCUAUCAUUCUUUGCAAAAAUUUAGGUCAGUUUUUGGUUCAGAUCAACCGAAAUUACACAAGGGUUUAAGUUCUUUAUAGAUCCGGUUUGAUCGAAAGAAACCGGUUUGAUCGAAAGAAACCGGUUUGAUUGUUUUGUUUUAUUGUUCAAUCGUGAUCAACCGAUUGGAUCUAAAACCAAAAUCGCAUAGAAGUAUCAAAUUAGGUUUAAUAUUGAUUAUUGUAGUACAAAAACCGAAAAAUCUUGAUAGCUAAACAUCUUGGUUGUUACUUGUGCUACAAGAAAAAUUGAACUGGUUUUGUGCCUAUAAUUGAAUCAGGAGUUGAAGGAGGUUAUCACCAAUGUACCAGAGAUCACAGAGCUUGUGGGAAGCAAAGCUGCAGAUCAAAUCUUCAACGUCCAUGAACACGAUGAAGACGAAAGAGUCAAAUCCGUUGUCCGGUUGAUCUUCACGCAGUUGAUGUCCGCAAGCAACAAUGAGACGAAGCAAGUGGUAUCUCGGAUGAAGAAUCGUCUGAUCUCGGAGACCAAACACCGUGAACUGUCGGAGAAAGAGAAUUUGGUUUUGGAAUUGGAGAAACAGUACUCAGGUGACAUAGGUGUGAUUUCAGCCUUUUUCUUUAACUACGUCAAGCUUAAUCGAGGAGAGGCUUUGUAUUUGGACGCAAACGACCCACACGCUUACAUUUCCGGCGACUGUGUCGAGUGUAUGGCGGCUUCAGACAACGUUGUUAGAGCUGGUCUCACUCCAAAACACCGCGAUGUUCAAACCCUUUGCUCUAUGCUUACUUACAAAUUGGUAACUUUCUUUACACGCUAACGUUUUAGUACCUUUCUUUACACGUUAAUGUUUUGGUUCAGCUGAUAAACCGAAUAUCAAAACCAAACUAGUAAUUGUUACUGUUUUCUUUGUUUGGUUUAUUGAUUAAUCGUACCGGAAUUUGUUCAGGGCUACCCGGAGAUUCUGAAAGGAUUUCCUCUAACUCCUUACGUUACAAGGUAUCUUCCUCCAUUUGAUGAGUUCGAAGUGGACCAUUGCGAUCUACCUGGUGGAAAUUCGACGGUUUUUCCGGCAGUACCGGGGCCUUCGGUUUAUUUGGUUAUUGAAGGUCAAGGGAAAUUGCAAACCGGUUCAUCUCAAUUGUUGGUUAACCGAGGAGAUGUUUUGUUUGUUCCGGCUCAUAACGAGGUUCACGUAACCGGAGAAAGUGAUGUGAUGAAGCUUUACAGAGCUGGAGUCAGCAGCAGAUUCUUCCAAACACUCUAGGCUAAAAAUUUAAGUAUAUGAUCUUUACUAAUUACUAUAUAUAUUUAUAAGCAUUCAUAGGGACCAAUUUUCCAAAUUGGUAGGAAUGUGUUGUUUAAUUCCCCGAUGGUGGCCCAUUGCAAAUUAAAAGUUCAAGGAGUUGUUAUUUUUCUAUUUUUAUUUAUAUAUAUACAUAUUUAAACGAACGAACUUUAUAUGUAAAAUAACUAAAAAAUCUUUUUAUCCAAUGUUUUUUUUUUUUGAUAAAAUCUUUUUAUCCAAUGUUUCAGAUUAGAAAAUGUUAAUGUGAUAUAUAUUAUCACGUGUAUUUGUGUUAAUUCGUGAAAUUCCAACGAAAACCUAGCAAUAAUGAAUAAAUUGGUUCAUGUUUCUUACAUAUUAUUUUAAGUGAUAUAUGUCGGCGUCAGAUUUCUUCCUCUCUUCUCUUUUUUAGUUUUUUCUUUUUCCUUUGUAUCGAUUUCUUUUAGCCGGCGGCGGCUCUUCCUUCUUUGUGGCUUAAUCAGAGACUUUUAAGUCGACGGCGAGCAGAGGUAGUUUUCUCAGAUGGAGGUUCGUUGGUGGAUCUACAAUGGGGAACUAUAACUCUCGACGACGGCAGCAGAUCUGGUGGAUUUCUUCGUCAGUCUCUUCGCGGAGGUACCUCUCCUCCGAUGAGCCUCUUUGGUGGCGGCGGCUCAGUGUUAAGAAGGGACAGAGGUAGGCGAAUCGUGGUUUUUCGAGCUUGGCUGUGAAGAUCCUAUCGAUCCCGGGCAGAUUUACAUGAUUCAAGGCUUUCUAGCUAUGCUGCCGCCAACGACUCCCGACAGAGAAUAAAUUAGAUGUAGGGGAGAUAAGAAAACCAUUUGGAUUGUAGAAGAAGAAGGAAAGCUCUCCAUUAAUGCCCCGGCUUCAAGAAAUUUUUGUCUCAGCCCGGUUAAUCCGGUUGAGUAUCAGUCGGAUUAGUAUGUCCGUUUUAGGCUUAGGACCGGAAUAGUGAAAGCCGAGGAGUCAAAACCCUUCUGAAGUUGCGCUUUUGGCGUAGAUGCUAUUAGGACACGCUCUACACUCGGAUCAUGAGGGACUAAUAGCUUGGAAUUGGUUUGGAUCUCAGGAGAGGAUUUGAUUUUCUUUGUGUUAGUAAUUGUUUUCGUGUCAUUGGGUGAAUUUAGGUGGUUUAAGAGAUGAUUUCACUUAGAGUCGUGGUGUAAUUCAUCUCGUUGUGGUUGGAAAAUACAAUGAUUUUCAGUUGGGUAGCGUUGGAUCCGUUAGUGUUUCAGGGUUUUAUUUGACUAAAUCAUUGUAUUUGAGUGAAGUUUGUCGAGGUCAAAUGAUUUGUAAUAUCGAUUUGGUGAAUGAAUAGUUGAUGUUGAGCAAAAAAAAAAAAAAAAAAAAAAAAAAAAACACAAUUUUUCGAUGCGAGGACUCUUCUAGGCUUCUAGCCUAUCAAUACUAGUAUUUUUACAGUCACUUUCGUCUUUGGUGAUGGAUGAGUAAAAAUGCUUCUGGGUUAUUUGGAUAUCCGAUCCAUUUUAAAAAAUCUUGCACAAAAAAUUUGUUGGGUCGGAGUAUAUUUAACCCAACUCAUACACCGGAUAUUCCAUAUUUAAUAAUUACAUAUUUAGAAGAUUUGAUUAAGAUUUAUAAUUAUGAUUCUCCUAUCAUCUUUGUUUGAUUUGUUUUUAACUGUUUUGAAUUAUCAUAUCUUACUAGGAUCGGACCCACGGUCCACCGCGGGAGAAUAUUGGUUUACAUACGUUGCGUUUAAUAUUGUGUGUUUUUUAGUAGAACGAAUCGUGUAGUAUACUUAUAAAUAUUCAUAAUAACGAAUUGUAGAGAAAAUGUAAAAUUGUUUAUAAAUAUACCCAUCGUAUUAAUUAUGAUUUACAAAAUAGAAUUUUGUGUUUAAAAAUUCUAAAAUUAGACGAUUCAUGAGAAUUAGAGCAGUCAAAAUAGGUCAAAAACCGCGGGUCGAGCCCACAUCAUCUCACUAUGGAGCAGAUUUGAGAAAAUAUAUUAAACCCACAAAUAAGCAGACCACAUGGAUUAAUUCGCAGUGGGUCAUAGGUUUAAUCAGUUUUCAUCCGCGGGUUGGCGGAUCAGCCCGCAUAUUAGUAUUUAUUGAUAAAAUUAUAAUUUAUUCAACAUGCGGUAAUUUAAACAAACUUUUAAUAGUAUUUUGAUUUAUUUAUUUAUUUUAGUAGUAUUUUAAAUUUUGGUUACUUUAAAAUUAUUUAAACAAAAUCCAUGGACAAUCCCGCAAAUCCGCAUACAUUCGCGGAACGGGUUUGUAUUUCAUAUAUGCUACCCGCGGGUCGUGCGGACCGACUAACUACAAGUCAAAAUAUUUUUUGUCUAUCGCAAAACGGACUUAACGGGACGAAUCAACUCGCUUUGACAGUUCUAAUGGGAAUAUUAUUUAGUCAUACAACAAAAUGAAGUUUGGACAUAGUAAUAAUAGAAUAUGUAUCUUAUUUGUUAGAUGAGAGAUUGAAAGAUGAAGUAUAAUGAUUAAAAAUUAAUUUUUUUUUCAUGAUUCACAAAUUUAAUAAAUACUUAUCAUCUUGUUGAAUAAUUCUAAAAUCAUAUUCAAGAAAUCUUUAUAAAUUGAAAAUUAAACUUUUUAGGUAAGCUAUAUGUAUGAAAAUAUCAUAAUUUUGAUUAAUCUAAUUAAAUUAAAAUUAGUUACAUGGAUUUCAUAUCUAUUUAAUUUACACGACCAAAAUAAAAAUAUCUAUUUAAUUUACAUGACCAAAAUAAAAAUAUCAAUUUAAUUUAUAAAACAGAUGGGUUAUUUGUGAUAAAUUUUCUAGAAAUCUUUAGAAGCAAGUAAAAUAUCUUUCAAUUAAUGAUAAUUGGCUAAAAUGAGCGAAAUUAACGACAAAAACGUUGAUUGUUAUGAAAUUAGUCCCAAAAAUAUAUGAACAAAUUUAUUAUACGUAAUUAAUGUAUAAUAUUGUUUGGAAUAUGCUUUUAUUAUUAGUUACCAUAAGUACAAUCAGAUUUUAUUUGAUUUCCAUAAAUAUUUGUUUUUAUUUCAAUUUUUCAUUAUUAAUUCGAAUUUAUAUUCCAAAAAAAUUUCAAAGAUCCGAUUUCAGAAUUUCGGGUCAAUUUUCUGAUUUUAACCCGACCCAUUUUCAAUUGUACUUCUCUUUUAAUAGUAUAGAGAUUAUAUAAAGUAUGGUUUUCAAAGUUAAUAACUCAUACGAUCGUAACACAUGGAAAAUCUAUCGAUCUUAAAUUUUAACACGUAUAAAACAAAAUUUCCUUUUUAAAAUAAUAAAAAAGAUAAUUGUAAAUAAUUAUAAAUUUAAAUAAUUUUAAAAAUAUAAAAUAACUAGUAUUUUUACAGUCACUUUCGUCUUUGGUGAUGGAUGAGUAAAAAUGCUUCUGGGUUAUUUGGAUAUCCGAUCCAUUUCAAAAAAUCUUUCACAAAAAAUUUGUUGGGUCGGAUUAUAUUUAACCCAACUCAUACACCGAAUAUUCCAUAUUUAAUAAUUAGAUAUUUAGAAGAUUUGAUUAAGAUUUAUAAUUAUGAUUCUCCUAUCAUCUUUGUUUGAUUUGUUUUUAACUGUUUUGAAUCAUCAUAUCUUAUUAUAUAAAGUAUAGUUUUCAAAGUUAAUAACUCAUACGAUCGUAACACGUGGAAAAUCUAUCGAUCUUAAAUUUUAACACGUAUAAAACAAAAUUUCCUUUUUAAAAUAAUAAAAAAAGAUAAUUGUAAAUAAUUAUAAAUUUAAAUAAUUUUAAAAAUAUAAAAUAUAAUGGUAAAUAAUUAAUAUUUCUAUAAACAAUUAAAAAAUGUCAAAAUAUAAUAAUAAGGAAAUUAUACGUUUUUUAUAAUUAGAAAUAUAUAUUUCAAUUAAACAAGAAAAAAUCAGGCAAAUUUAUUAAAAAGGAAACAUAUGUUAUUAUAAAACUAAUAUGUUCUAUUUCUGUUUCUCAAAGUUAGUAAUUAAUAGUAUUAUAAACCGUUAUCAGUCAAAGAUUUUAUCAUGAUUUAAUUUAAAAUUUGAUAUUAUUUAUCUCAAUUUCCUUUCCAAUUAGAAUAUAUGAUGAUUUAAUUAAACUAAUAUUCAUAUUAUUUAUUUGAGUUUAUUUUUUGAGAGAUCAAAUUUUUUUUUCUUUUUGUAAUAUUUUUUUACUUAACUGUGUUUUUUUUUCCUUAAUUAUUGUGGAUGUCGGAUUCACACACUCAAGUAUUUUUACUAAGCGGGAAAGAUUACUCUUGAGGGACAAAAAAUGAAUAUGUAAAAAGCUAUGAAUUGAUACAAAAAUUGCUAUAGUAUUUCUUGCUCGAGGAAAAGAUCCCCUUUACAUGGCCCUUGGCCAUUAUAUUUAUACAUAAAAAACAACAUUUAAGUGGCUAAUUAAGUACAAUUAUUCUUUCUUAAAUGUAUCCGUUUUGGUCUCAGAAUUUAAUGCUCAACGUUUGAAUUUGAAUUGAUUCCGACCUUCAUGGGCCUCGCCUCUCAGUCCAAAUUACCUUGAACCGACUUAACUAUGACUUCGACUCGUAUCGAGGUGCAAUCAAUUCGAACUUUCUUUGUGGUGUCACCACCUCGACCGCACCCUUAUCUUACAGACCUAAUGGGCCUUAUCCCUUGUGGGCCUUCGUCUUGACUGCGUGGCAAUCUUUGGUUGGUCCCGGACUACUAGUGCGGGAUCCGACACCAACAAUUAUGAUUGUAGUAUUUUUAGAUUGUUUAUUUCAAUUUCUCUUUUCAUAUUAAUUAUCAAAGAUUCAUAUAUCAUCGUGUUUAUAAUUUUUUAUUUUUAGUUUAACAGUUGUAACUUUAAAUUAUUUAUUUUGGUUUCUACGUUCAGUUUAAUAUAAGAUUUAUAAUAUAUCAAAAUUCUAAUGAUUUUAGAUAGCGACAAUGUCAUGAUUUAAAUUACAAUCUUAUAUUAUUUAUAUCAAUUUUAUUUUCUAAUUAGAAAUAUAUGAUGAUUUUAAGUAAAUUUUUAUAUUGUUUAUUUGAAAUUCUUGAAUAUGUAAGAACUUAUAUGCUUCUUCUUUGUUUUUGAUAUUUUGAAUUUAAUUAUACUAUUUCAAAAUUGUUUAUUUAAAUUUCUAUGUUCAUAUUUGAAUUAUAUAAGAUUCAUAUAUCAUCUCGCUUAUAAUUUUUUGAAUUUAUCAAUUUUUAUUGAUUGAUCAAUAAAGUCAUUACAAUCGAGUAUAUAAGAAUCGAACCUGAAACGUUAGCUUGGAAGACUAAGAGAUUUAGUCGAUUUAUCAUAUUUAUAUUUUUAACGUGUCUCAUUAGGAACCACUUUGGUUUCAGUCACCAACUUUAUGAUGAAUAUUUUUAAAUUUAGUUAUUCAUAUAGUAUACUAUGAGUUAUUGCUAUGUGAUAUAUCUUUCAUUCGAAAAAAUUUUGAAUUAAUAAUUUUAGUGGUUAAAGAAACAAUGCAACAGUGAAAAAGUAAAUAUUUUUUUUUACUUUUGUAAGAAAAUUUUUACUUACAACAUUGUUAAUUAAUCUUUUGUUAAAUUUGAUUUUAGUUUUUUUUUAAAAAUUAAACCCGUUCAUCGGACGGGUCCUUUUCUAGUAAUACAUAAAGUAGAAAAAAAUCAAUUUUUUUCUCCAUAACUGUUAUUCAAAAUUUAAAAAACGGACAUAUAUUAUCCAAUUGACGAAAAUGUGUGUUCAACGUUCUACAUCGAUUAAAAUAUUUAAACAAUGAUUCAGAAUCAUAUCAUAAAUAAGAUCAUUAAUAAAAUAAAUGAGUUUUUUGGCCGAACGGGUUUGGAGGGACGGAUUUUUGAAUCAACAAUAAUAAAAAGAUUAAAAUAUCAUUAAUCCGCCGCUUCAAUACAGAUUAAAUCCUUAUUUUUUAAUACUACAAAUAUUAGAUAUAUCAAAUCAGUCUCAUUUAGAAAAGAUUGUAUAAAACCAAAAUUGUCCCGUGAUAUAAUGUCGUGGUCUUAGAGGAUGAUAUGAUUUGUAAACUUUUAUAUAUAAUAAAUAAUUUUAAAAUUUUAAAAUAAAAACAAAUCACGGGACAGGUUAAGAAAUUACGGAACGGGUUAAUAUUUCGGAAAGAAUUUAUAUGGCGGACGAAUUUGAAUCAAUAUUUAUAUACCGCUUUAAUACGAGUUAAAUCCUCAGUUUAUUAAUAAUUGUCUCGUGGACUCGUGGUAUACCGUUACUUAAUAACAAUUGUAAACUAUAAUAUAAAUAAAUAUGUUAUAAGGAGAUACAAUUUACAAAAUAUUUUUAUACUAACUUUAAAAUUAAAUCAUCCGGGUUAAAAUCUAGUCUUGUUAUAUAUCAUACUAGAAUUAUCCUAUUUUGAGAUUCAUGACUAAUCAAAAAGUCAAAGCAAUCAAAUGAUAGAGUUUAUGGUUGUUCUAUAAAUUGUUUUGAGUUUCAUGAGCUUUCAUUUCAAAAAUCGAUAUAUCUACUUGUAUAGUUUUAUCUAAUCCAAAUCAAGAUAUCAGAUUAUCCUUAUGUAAUUUGAGUUGAUCUAAUCAGUAUACGAUAAAACUGAAGUGUGAUUUGCACUAUUUUGUAGUAACAACACUUUGCCUCUAUCAUUAUUUGGCGUCAAACGAUGACGUCUUAAGCUUCUUAACAUGUCUUCUUCACGUUAAAUGCAAAGUUUUGUAUACGUGCGCAGUGGUGAUGACGGCCUUCUAACGACUAUUGAAGAUCAAUAAAUAUCACAUUUAAUUACUCUCAUGACUCAUUCCAGUCCAAAUUUGAAUGGGCCUACAAAGAUUAUAUCCCAAUACAAAGUCCAAUUGACAGCAACCUCCGUCACCUGAUUCUCCAAUUCCGGUGAAAAAAUCAUCGCCGGGAAACAAUACUCGGCCAACGAUUCUUCAGUUUUUCACCAACUUUUGUAUAUACGGCUAAAGAGACAUAUAAUACAGAACAAAACAAACUCAAUCGGUUGCUAAAUCCACCAAUAAUCAUUUGGAUUCAGCAAACAAAGUCCAACAGAGAAUGAUAAGAUCUGAAAGUCCACCACCGUUUGCUUAUCGAUCAGCUUCACCAUCUUUUCUGUCGUAGUUGGCUCUUCUCCGUGCCUCCUACCAUUUUUCUCUCUCCAAAUAGAGUGGAUUGUGUUCUGGAACACAUACUUGAGUAUAAAUCCUUUGGUUUUAUCGAUGUCUUUUCCUGCAAGCAUCUUCAUGAUCUCUAGCCAUUUGUCGGAUCCUCAGUCCACUGACCAGCUCCUCCCACACCUUUCUUGAGAACGGGCAUUAAAAAAAUGAGUGAUCUCUUGUUUCCAGCGGGUCUUUGCAGAAGAUACAGCUCGUAUCCACGUUCUUGUUCCAUUUAUCAUUCUAUCCCCUGUUGCUACUCUGUUUUUCACAACUAACCAAGUCAGGAAAGCGUACUUUGGGGUAGCAUUCGCAAACCAGAUCUCAUCAGAGCCUCUCGCCUCCCGGAAACCUAGCUCUCUUCGCGGCUGCCCUUGACAACUAAACCUCCCCGAAAUCCCUCAGUACUUAGAUAAAUGCAUUUGCAGCGCUAACAAAGCUCGGGGCAACAACAGUGCUUGUGCGUCAGAUAUAUAUAUGCGACAAUGAGGAUCCACACCACAAGUCAGGCAAAUUCAAGUAAACCCCUGUAACGGAGCACUUGAUCUGCUCAAGGGCUCGUAGUAGUGUUUUCACAUCAAAUUGGAAGCUAUAACUUCUUUGAUUAGUUUUUAGUGAAAAUAAAUCUCUAGUUCAGUAAUAUAUGUGAAGAGGUUUUCGAGUUGCAAAAUUUCUGCAGAAACCUCAAGAAUUAAACUUAUUGACAAAAGAUAAAAACUUGUCUGAAGUUGUUUGGUCUCAUUGAUUCUUUCAACAACUUAAUAACCCAUAAUAACUAAUUUAACUGAAGCAAAAUCAUAAUGAACCAUCAUUCCAACAUUGAGAGACCAAGAUCACCAAUUUUACUUGCCCUGGUUGUUGAUUAAAGCUUUGGUUAGGAAAUGCGAAACGAUUCCAACCGGACAGAAGAGAAGGCAGAGCGAAACCGAAUGCCUCGUCUCGAUCUGAUUCUCUAACCCAUCAUUAUAAACUUGCCUGCAAAUAAAAACCGAAAACAUGGUUUAUAAGAAACAUGUUCGGAUAAAUUCAGAACCCAUUAAUUGAGAAGAAACAAAUCCGCAAUAUACCGUGCAGCAAAAAGAUCUAUCACAAGAAGAUGAAUCCAAGCAGAAGCAAGAGUCAUUUCACUUGAGAACAUUUUCGCUAUUCCGGACAGCUGCAGAUGAAAUAAAAACAUUAGAAACUGCAUUGAUACAUUCUUGUUUUCGAAUGUUUCGGGAUGGUUGAGGGAAAGCAAAACCUCUGGCAACAUGUAUUUACUAGAAAACAUGUAUUUGAGCGUCUCGGGUGUCCAAGAAAGGUAUAACAAAUAUGCGUAUAAUACGCCUAAGACGAUAUACGGUAUGCUACUCUCCAUACACUUCUUGGUCUGCAAAAAGCAACAUAAUACUCAAUUUAGAUCAACUUCUUUGGUUCUGCACAAAAACUGCAAUAAAACAUAAAACUUACAAUUUCAGCUUUUGGAGCUACAACCAUGAGCGUAUAAAAGGGAAGAACCGCGGUAGUUCCAACCGCAAAUACACUGCUUGCAAUCUGAGAAGUAGUUAACCCUGCAACAUGAAUAUAUAAGAGAUUCUAUCACUCAUUUAAUCUGAGAUCAAAAGUCACAAAUGAGUGACAAAGUUUUAAUCUUUAAACUUCAGUUACAAAUGCAGAGAAACACAUUACAUGAAGCUCGUACACCGGAGAAUUUCUUGCGAACUACAGAGUUAGAAUUCAACGAAACAUUGGACUGAACAGAGAUUCCUGAUCCUCCAAUGAAGCUCCAACGAUGAUCUAAUCUAAUCUUUGAAGAAUCAAGACAAAGUUCCAAUCUUUUAGCCGAAAUGUUGCGUUUCAUCAUCUGAAUUCAAGAAAGAUUCUCUUUUACUUCAUAGAAAUUCAGAAACUUUCAGACAAAAACUCACAACAAUCAAGAACAGAGAUUCUUUAACAGUGACUCAGGAGAAAUAAAGUCAACUUAGUCAAUUCGAAAACCCAUUAAAUUCUUCAAUUUGAGUCAAAAGAUAAAGACUUUUAAGGUUAUCCAUAACUAUUCAAAACAGUAGAACCUCAACACAUAUACGAAUAGUGAAAUUGAAGAAGAAGAUACCGUGAGAGAUGAAGACAAAGGCUGAGAAACGCAAGAAGAAAAAGCCAUCUCUGAUUUAAAUCUGCCAAAAAUUGAUCUUUCAUCACCUUCUUCAACAAACUCUCUGCAUAUAUAUAUAAAUUAAACACAAAGAGGAAUAAUGGUUUGAUAGAUUUCCACUGAAUUAAAAAAUAAAACGGAAGUGGAAGGAAAAAAAGUUGUCUUUCACACUCUUUCUUGCUCAGUGUCCACAAUUAUAUGCAACACUUUUUGCUCAUCCUUCCAUCUUUAAAAACUUCAAUUUCGGUUUAGUUUAUUUAAAUUACUUAGAUUUUUUGUUUAUUUAAAUUAAAAUCUAUUAUAAUAUGGCAUAAUCAGUAGAUUCAGUAUAAUUUUGGUUUAUUUCAAUCAAUGAUAUAUCUAAAUAUUAGUAUUAUUAUUAUCAUAUAAGAUUUUAGUAAAUUAAUUACACAAAAAAGUUCAAUAUAUAAGUACACAUAAAUUUUUGAAUAUAUUGAUGGAAAAUUUAAAUGUAAAUGGUUUAUUUUUGUGUGAAAGAAGUUAUAUGUUAAUGGAGAGUUGUGAUCAAAGUGAAUUUAGGUGGACAAGACACAAGUCUAGUUUCAGGACAGAAAAAGACAAUAGUUAGUGUUUCCCCCAUUAAUUCGUUUUUUUCUUUUAUUAGAUUAUAUAUUUUAAUUUGUAUUCACAACCUGGUUAUUGCAUUAAGAAUUGACUAUAAAAAGAUUUAAAAAAAAAAUACAUUAACGAAAAGAAAAACAAGAAAAAGAUAGACAUGUGGCUAAUACUCAUUGCUUGAGAAAUUGGAUGGAGUACGAAGAUAACUUGGGUGGGCUAUUUGGUAUGAUAACUUAUAUAUCUAUUAAUAGGCCUUUUGGCCCACCCACUUUGUUUUUUUUUCUAUUCCUUUAUCACUCCCACCUAAUUUGUUUAUUUCAACAAAAAACAACACAUGAAAACAAAAACAAAACUUUGGUAACUCCUAUCUAACCAAGUUAGAAAAAGCCUUUGGGAGGCGAUUUUUUAGGUCUAGCCGCCAAACAACUUCUCUUCUCAAAUCUUUGUCGAUACCUCUCUGAUUUUCCGGUGUCCUUGGCCGGAGUCGUGAGAGGGUGUGUCUGUUUAUCUUUUAAUUGAUUUUCCUUUGUUUUGGGUCUUCUUUGGCUUCUCCUAUGGCGGAUUAAAGACAAGAUCUAGAUGGUUGUGCUUCGAUUGGGUUGGUUCCGUUCUAGUGAUGGGUUUGCUUGGUUCUCAGUGGAUGGUCGGUGUUUUCGUCGGAGCCCGUGUGGUUCUUCACUAUUACGGCUGUUUGUUUUUGGAGAUGGAGGUUUGGUUACUUCAUCUUGUUUAUGCCCGUAACUUUUAGAAGCUCUGCAGUCUCGAUUCUGUCUUAGGCUAAGAUUGGAUUGCCUUUGGUUGGGUAAUUUAGUCUUAGUAGUAUGGUUGGUUGAGGGUAGAAGCCUUAGUUUCAAGUUUAGGGAUGGCAAUAUUGACUCCUAGUUCUGCCUCCUGUUACUUUCUGCCCGGUUAUUGGGGUUAUGAGUUUGUGAAGGUUUCGUUUUGUGGGUUCUUCAUUUGGAUGGUAGUCUCCUACAAAGGCAUCUACUAGCUCUCUUCUUUUUCCUUGUUUGGAUUUAAGGUUUGAGUUCAAGACGAUGUGGUAGGCUCGGUCUCUAUUCCUUCUCUUGCGUGGCGUAACAAGUUCUUAGGCUGUAGAUGGUUUUGGCUGGGUCUACGAAUGUCCGCGUGUAAGGUUUGUUGGCCCUCUUUAGCGUUUUCCCCUUCGGAUCUCAAGGCUUCUCCUUGUCCCUUCUCCUACUUGUCUUCUCUGGUUUCUGGUGUGGUAGUGAUGGUUAGGAUCUGUGUUCUGAUUCUCUUUUAUCUGUGCUCGUUUCUGCUCGGGGUGUGGUUGUGUGAGCUUGGUUUUGUAUCCUUCUCGGGCCUUUCAUGUAAAGGCAAUCUAAUGAUGGGUCCUCUUGUUGCUCCUGUUUGUAACCACUUUCCAGCGCCCAAAAUGUUCUAUGGAAAUGUUCGUCGGAUUCUUUUCGUGAAGAGUUUGCAGUUGUGUUGCUUGAGUCUUAGAUAUUAGCUUUUUCCUGUACUUUAAGGUUUUCCUUCUUUUAUGUCUGCCUUUUUUGGCUUUUGUCUUUGGGGGUUUCCAUGUAUCCGCCGGCUUAGUUUUCCGGGGAUUAGAGUCCCGCCGGGGUUAGUAUUUUACCAUGUAUCCCAACUUUGUAUUUCUCCCUUGGUUAUAUUUCAUGAAUUAUUCAGACGAAAAAAAAAAAAAAAGUAAGUCCUAUCUAUCAAUCUUUAUGUGGUAUUUGAGCAUUUCGAUGUAUUCGAUGGCGACCAAAACCUUUUGAAAAACAAUAUGUAUAAUUCUUGAAAUUAAAUAGUAAAAAAGUUAUUAAAAAAUGGGUAAAAAAGUUUUAAGAUAUUUGAAAACUUUCCACUAUAUCAAUAAUUAAUUAGAAAUGUUUUUUUUUUUUAAUAAAAUUUGAGUUUUUACGACCCACACAUAGCAUAUCCUAUUUCGAAAGUACCUAAACAAACGGUUCCAAAAUAUCUUUAUGUGAAUUUGGGUCAAGCCCUUCGAUUGAAGAAAAUAUAUGAUCCACAAGAUGCUUGAAUAUACUUAGUAAAAAUGAAUAUUCAAGACUCUUAUCCAGAAUCCUAUCCUAAAGAAGGCACGUCCACUAAUGUAUCCAUCACUAGAUUUCAAGUGGGUCAUCUUUUACUUAAAGAUAUUGUUAGUCUAAACCUCUCAAGCUCAUUAAUCAUGUGACAAGAAUUGAAUGUGAAUCUAAUUUUUCUAGUGAUUUCUUUAGCGACACUAGAUAUGCUAUGGUUCUUCAACUUGUAAAUUUCAUAUUUGGAGCCGCAUUGUCCUCUUUCAUUUUGUUCAUAUGCAAUUCAAAUUGAAAGACUUAUAGAACAUUACAUAUUUAUUUCAUCAGACAGUUGAGAAUCCGAUAGAAAAUGUCUCGCAAACCGGAAAACAAACGUUAAAUCCGGAAAUUAAAACCCAUAAAAAAAGAAGAAGAAAAAAAGCAGAAGAACAAGGGAUAAAAUCAAAGGUGGGGGAUAAUGUUUUGAUGUUUACACAGAGCAAAGGGAAAUUAACCGGUGAAGCUUGGUGGCUUGUAGGCAAUGAAACUGAUGCACUGCACUUGACGGCUGUUGUCGAAUCCGAUGAUCCUAAUGAAGGCUUCAGGGUACUCCUUCUUGCACUCUUCCACUUCCUUCAACACUUGAGCGGAGUCGGUGCAACCGAACAAGGGAAGCUUCCACAUUGUCCAGUACCGUCCAUCGUAGUAUCCGGGGCUGUUACCGUGCUCACGGUACACAAAUCCGUGCUACAAACCACAUAUAUUACAACCACUCAGAAAAACAUUUUGUAUAUGUUUAUAUAAUUCAAGAUUCCUAAUAUAUGAAGCGAAUUACUAACCUAAUUUUCCUAAGAUCUACCUCGUUUAUAUAUAUGUUUUAAGCUUUUAUUAAUUACCUCCAACUCGAAUUCAACACAAGGAAUCCACUUGUUGCGGAGAAGGUAGUCAACUUCCUUAGCCAAUUCGGAAUCGGUAAGGUCAGGAAGGUAAGAGAGAGUCUCGAACUUCUUCUUUCCAACGGGAGGCCACACCUAUAUUUUUUUUUUUUAUCGAUUUUUCGAAUCAUAUUAGUUCAUGUAAAUCUAAUUAAAAACCGAUAAUAAAUUAAAAAGUGAAGAAGAAAUAUAUAUGACCUGCAUGCAGUUAACUCUUCCGCCGUUGCUUGUGAUGGAAGUAAUGUCGUUGUUGGCCUUGCGGGUGGCUGGGAAGGCAGCGGAGGACUUAAGUCCGGUGAAAGGAGCGACCAUUGUGGCCUGAGCCGGAGAG
RNAcentral lists this long non-coding RNA (48085 nucleotides) under Arabidopsis lyrata. RNAcentral's name for it is "long non-coding RNA (ALYR_LNC002801)". The record is from RNAcentral. Lineage: Eukaryota; Viridiplantae; Streptophyta; Magnoliopsida; Brassicales; Brassicaceae.